Molecule: long non-coding RNA, 74871 nt
Filed under: Brassica napus (rape)
Lineage: Eukaryota; Viridiplantae; Streptophyta; Magnoliopsida; Brassicales; Brassicaceae
Description: long non-coding RNA (BNAP_LNC001055)
Rfam family: MIR162_1 microRNA precursor family (bases 26757-26867)
Source: RNAcentral
UUCUGUGGAAACAGAUGCUUUCAAAAUUCCUGAAUCAACACCCUCUGCAGAAAAUGGUGGUCAAGUUAGGCAUAGUCAGUCAUCUGCUUCUCAGGGGUUUAGUUUACAGCUGGCUCCGCCGUCUCAACCAGCUCCCUUACCUGAUAACGUGCAGUUUUCUAUGAACUCUUUGCAGCCAUUGAAUUCACUUCAUACUGCCCCUGAAAAAGGAGCAACAAGUCAAUCAAGGUUUGCUCCAUGGGCAUCUAGUCAAUCUUUUCCACAGCAAUCCACUUAUCAAGGACCAGGAGAAAGCAACAAUACCUCUGGUUUCCCAUAUUCCAAAGGGUAUCACCAAAAUCAACUGCUGCCUGUUUCUACCCGACAGUUAACUCCUAACCAUUUAGUCAGAUCAUCUUCUGAGGUGUCGACCCCUCAAGUGAAAGAAAGAGACCGAAGCAGUGACUAUUCAGCACAAACACCUUCCCUGCUAAAUCCUACGACCCACAAGAACAAAGGAGAUUCAGCUGAAGGGUUUCCUAUGCUGUCUGCUCCUCAGCCUCGGGUAGGAUUUAGUUCGCCUCAGCAGAGUUCCUCUUCUGGUAUGAGGUCUGACUCAGGAGCCGGUAUUUCAGCACCGCAACAUCGGUUUUGGAACCAGCCACCUAAGCCUCAGCCAGAUAUAUUACGGCCGCAUCCAGUUACCAAUAGCCACGUAGAAGACAUCUUCUCAAGGCAGGGGAAGAGAAAUCAAUUAUCCUCUCAAAAUGGAGGAGACAUGUCAUUAAGUGGAAGGGACAUGGUGAAUAUGCAUGAGUUGCAGAGUCAAGAUAUGGGUGCAAAACAAACAGCUGGUGUUGCUUCGAUGUUCUCCAAAAUGGGGCAGAUCAAUCAUCAAACCUUGGAUCGCUCUCUUCCUUCUAACAACCGUCCAAAAGAUGACGUGCGUCACAAUGAGCGUAUGGCUGGAAGUGGGGAGGGUGACGCACCCAAGAUGACUGUGAAGAGAGUCGAGGAUAGUUCUGUUCAUCUUCAAAAGGUAGCUUCCAAAGAGGUGCAACAGUCACCUUUAAGAUCUGAUGGUUUACUGAGAGAUGGAUUGAAUCACAAGGAAUCAGAGAACCACUCGCUACCUUUCGGCCAAACUGUUUCUCAGAGUUUCUCCAAUAAGAAUCAUUCUGCCUCGGCUGGAGCAGAUCAUCAACAACAAAUCAGUCCUCAGAUGGCUCCAUCCUGGUAUAAUCAAUAUGGAACUUUCACCCCCUUGAAGAUAGGAGAAAAAUCUUCUAAUGUUGGGAGUUCGGCUGAUGGCUCACAUAAUGAUCAAUCUCCAAAGCAGUUUAAUACGCAGAAAAUGCCAGGCUCCGCACCAGGAGCGGAGAUUCCCUCAUCUGAGUCAUUGCCUCGUGGUGCAACUGACGAACUUAUGAAUGUUGUUAAACCAAAGAAGCGCAAAACCGCCACAUCAGAGCUUCUAUCUUGGAAUAAAGAAGUCAUGCAUGGUUCCCAGAGGCUUAAGACUCUCAGGUGUGUGGCUUAUGAGCACUAAUAUUGAUUUUUAAUCUUUCAUAUAGAUUACCGUAUUAAUCUACUAUACUCUUUACAGUGAGGCGGAGGUUGAUUGGGCCAGAGCAACCAAUCAAUUUGCUGAAAAGGUGAGUUUCCUCAUUACAUACUUUCUCUCGCCUGUCUCGUUGUCCAAUGUUGUUGAAUAAGUUGAUGGCUUAUGUUCGCACAGGUGGAAUAUGGGAAUUUACUUGAGGAUGGCCCACGACUCAGAUCAAAGAGAAGGCUUAUAUAUACAACACAACUCAUGCAACAACUAUUUCGCCCGCCUCCUGCUAGGGUAAUAUCUUUGAUUGCUAGCUCAAACUAUGAGUUUGUUGCAUAUACUGCUGCAAGAGGUGCACUAGGAGAUACAUGUAGCUCCACUUUUACUGAUAGGAACGAAUGCCUUUUGCCCCAGAACAAAUCAAACCCGUAAGGAUAUGUACUGUUUGUUAUCCUUGAAAUGCUGGAGAGUUUGAGGUUAUGUAUUAACACAAACUUAUCCACUCUUGUGUAGGGUGUCUGAGAGAAGGAAAACUGAAACAACCAGUGACCAGUACAUCUCCAAAGCUGCUGAAGAUUUCAUUAGCAGGUCACAGAAACUAGAAAAUAACUUUGCAGGGUAAAAGACCAUGCCUAGCUCUCUCUAGUAAUUGAUUUUAGUUCUUAAUGGGUACUCGUUAUGGCGGCUUGAUCUCAUGAACAUUUGAAACUAUGAGUUUGUUGCAUAUACUGCUGCAAGAGGUGCACUAGGAGAUACAUGUAGCUCCACUUUUACUGAUAGGAACGAAUGCCUUUUGCCCCAGAACAAAUCAAACCCGUAAGGAUAUGUACUGUUUGUUAUCCUUGAAAUGCUGGAGAGUUUGAGGUUAUGUAUUGACACAAACUUAUCCACUCUUGUGUAGGGUGUCUGAGAGAAGGAAAACUGAAACAACCAGUGACCAGUACAUCUCCAAAGCUGCUGAAGAUUUCAUUAGCAGGUCACAGAAACUAGAAAAUAACUUUGCAGGGUAAAAGACCAUGCCUAUCUCUCUCUAGUAAUUGAUUUUAGUUCUUAAUGGGUACUCGUUAUGGCGGCUUGAUCUCGUGAACAUCUGUUUUUUCUUUUUCUUUUGCAGACUACAGAACGGAUCAACAAUUGCUGACUUGAUCGUGGAAGUCCAGGAUCUAGAGAAGUUUGCAGUGAUCAAUCGUUUUGCGAAGUUCCACCCAACAUCCUCAUCUACAGACCGGAACGUGAGUUCACUUAGGUUAAACCCACAAAGAUAUGUUACUAUAGCUCCAAUGCCUCAGAAUGUUCCAGACAGGGUACACUGUCUCUCUCUCUAACCAUUGAUGAAUCCAUCAUAUUAUUCUGUUUUUGGCCAGUAGUUCCCAUUCAUAUGUAUCUCGUGCACCAGAUGUUUGUAUUUCUUGGGUGGGUAUGAGUUAGUAGUUGGUCAGGAUUCUGAGAACUGUGAAGGUCUCUAUUGUUAAGAAGCCGGAGAUUUCCUACUAGACAUGAAGAAUUAAUGUAUUCAUGAUCAUAUAUGAUUAUUGCAAGUCAGAAUAUUUUGUAUACUUAGUAAAGAAAAAUUGCUCAUAACAGAAAAUCUAAUAAGGUUACAACCUAUGGUUUCCAGUAAACAAAACAUAACAAUAUAAUUUCAACAAAGCUAAGGUUCUAAAAAUCUCUUCCUCUUGUCUCUUAAGUCACUUAGAGCUUUGUAGAAGCAGUCAUGCUUUAAAGUCGCAGAAACUUAACCAGACGCUUAAGGAACAGCUUUCAAACUUUAGAAGGUGAGUCUAAUUUCUUCCCCGGCCAUCGCUAAUAUCUCAUCCACCCUGUAACAAAAUAUGCAACACAGGCUCUCAUCAGAAAGAGUAGAACUCGAGAAUGACAGUAGUCAAACUGUAAAUACUUACCUAUGACUGUCAAUGUUUAUCUCUGCAAGCCAAGCUGUCAAGUAAAUCUGCAUAGCAAAAAAAGAUCUUGUAAGAUAAAUUUUAACAGAAGAUUUUUCCUGAAAACAAAUCCCACAUACCUGCAAAAUUUCCGAGGUUGGCUGGUUGGUAUGUGAUACAGAAGAGAUACCGAGAUUAUCUUCUCUCAGUCUGGGGAGAAUUGGCUCAUCUAGUUCCAUGGAGUAUAAAGAACAUUUGGAGAGAUCAUCAAACUCUCCAUGGUAAAGCUCAGCUGACCAACUGAGCUUCACCGGUUGAGGAACUUCACAGCUUAAAGAGACCAGUUCCAUGACAAGUAAUCUCUAUUGAAUAAUGACGUUAUGGCAGAAAACAAAAUCAGAAGCUAAUUAAGAGCCUAGAGAUUAUAUACAGAAUUGAGUAAGGAGGAAGAAAGUAAACUUUACCUUUAGCAUUACUUCUCGUUUGAACAUCUCCACAAGCUCCUCGGCCAUCUUCUCUGUGAUCAUAUCAACAUUGCAGAAAAAGGUGAAUCAAGUAAUCAAUGGCUAGUUUUUGGUUAAUGAGCUUACCAAAUGCAGAGACAUUCAAAAAAUUAAACACAGGGAUGCCACCGCAGUCUCCAGCAUCAUCUGAAUCUUCCUUAGAGCCAGAGAACUGUAUAAUCGAACCGCUACUCGGCUUCAUAUAACAUCUCAGAGAACUACUUACAUUCACCAUCUCAACAACAACAGCCACCUGCAUUUUACCAACCACAUAAUUGUUUACACAUUCCAAAUUCACAAGAAUAUUAGAUAGUCAUUUGCCACACACACUCACCAUUUCCUUGUACGAAGAUAGAAGCUUGAUCCGACACGAACUCUGAACAUACAAAGACUCAAUAUGUGAAGUAAAAAACACAAAGAGUGUAGUAAAGUUAAAAACUUUUCACCUGUUGCUUAGACAGCUUCUUCAAAGUCUUCUCCUUGAUACCAACCAUGUCACUCAACGCACCAAACUUCAUUGCUGGCACAAACCUAUUAGCCAUACAAAACACAAAGUGAUUUAAAAGAAUUCAUCUUUUUUAAUUUAAUCACACAUCAAAGUUAGUAAGGGCUCCACACGUUUGGGAUAGAUACGCAUUGACGAGCGAAGUGGCGUGAGAUUUUCCGCCGGAACAAGCGGCGACCCACUGUUGCCGGAAAGUCGAGAGCUUUGACCACUGGUUCCUUAGAUUCCGCUGAGCAGCUGGUCUCCAUAGCCUCAUCGAAGAUGAUGAUGAUGAUAAACUCGCCGGAGAUGGAGAUGGAGAUGGAGAAGCUAGCGAUCGCGAAGAAGACGCUGGAGAUGGAGAAGCAGGCGGAGGAAACUGUGAGGCGCUCAUCGCUCUUGAGCUUAAAGGCUUCUCAAAAUAUUCAGUAGACGAACGACGGUUCGAUGCCGGCGGCGUAGAGACGCCGGCGAGAGCUAUUCUUAUAGGGCUUAUGAAAGAAGAAACAUAAAGGGUAUAAUUGUAAUUAUACUGUGAAGCUUAUUUAACUGGAUUAAAUAAAAUAUUAUUAACUGGUGUAAAAAUAAAAAGUUACUGCGGUGUAGUUAUAUGAUGGAAGGAGCAAUAUUAACAGUAGAUCAGAUUUUACAGUGACGGCAAGUUUUAGAGAGAGAAGUAAGAGAGAGAGAGAGAGAGAGAGAGAGAGAGAGAGAGAGAGGAUGUCUCACAGUCACGGGAACGUUUCGUCGGCGAACGAUCCACGGCAGCCUUCGGCGGCGAAGCCUUACACUCCGCGACCUAUUGCCCCGGAGGAUCUCCCCGUUGACUACUCCGGAUUCAUCGCGGUUAUCCUCGGCGUCUCUGGGGUUAUGUUCAGAGUAAGUUUACACACUAGAUCUCAUGUGAUCCUUGCUCGCUUCUAGAAACUCUUGAUCCGGUUGUUUACGCUUCAGAUUUGGUGAGCUAGGUCGUCGGAUCUUCGAUUAAUCAACAGCAAUCUGUAGCUCGAUUGGAUCUUAUAGUUUCGAUUGAAUCGAUUUAGCUUAGUUUCCUCAGAUUUGGAUGAUUUUAACUACUCAGAGUGUGAUUGGAUCAUGUUAUAGAUUAGAUCUCCUUUUAAGAUUUGAGCACAGUUCAAAUGGAUGAGAUAGCAGUUGUGAUUGGAUCUUAUAGUUUCUAUUGAAUUGAUUUAGCUUAGUUUCCUUAGAUUUGGCAGAUUCUAACUACUCAAGAGUGUGAUUGAAUCAUGUAAUUAGACUUAGAGAUAGAUUUGAUCUCCUUUGAGAUUUGAGCACAGUUCAAAUGGAUGAGAAGAUGAGUUGUUUCUUUGGAGUCUAAUGGAUAAGAGAUUGGUUUUUUUUUUUUUUGUUGUUGUGUGUGUUUCAGUACAAGAUAUGCUCGUGGCUUGCGCUUAUAUUCUGUGCUCAGUCGCUGGCCAAUAUGAGGAACUUGGAGACUGAUUUGAAGCAGAUCUCCAUGGCUAUGAUGUAUGGUUCCCUUCCUCACUCUUGUUAUUUUCAUUAGUUAGUGAGCCAAAAGCAAUUGUUUAUACCACUUUCUGUUCAAUAUGAGCCAUGGUGUUGGUUGUUGUUGAUGUUGACUCGAGUUUUCUUGUAUUUGAAACAGGUUUGCUAUUAUGGGAUUGGUCACAAACUACUUGGGGCCUAAUAGACCCGCCGCGACAAAGAAAUAAUUCUGAACUACUCUUGCUUUCUUUAUCUUUUAUCAAACCUUGUUUGGUUCUUGUUUUCCGCACUUUUAAGUUAUAAAUUGCACCAUGGUGAGAUUUGAAGCCUAGUUUUUUGUUUCUGUGAAACUUUUCUCAUUAUUAUUUAGGUGUUUUGAGUAACAAACUAGACUAGAGCUCAUGUUCGAAGGUUCUCAUUUCAGACACACAGAAAUUGAAUUCCAGUUUUAUGUUUUAUAUCCACUAUUUAUGAUAUAUGAGAAGUUGAAGACAUUCAGGUAAAUUAGAGGCUUAGAGCCACCUUCUGAAACUAUGAAGCAUAAGCUCGAAGCUGUUACUGAGCUCAGCUUUCUGGGGAUGUAUGAAUAACUACAAACAUGGCUGAUUCUACACAGCACUUGACGACUUGAGAGAUGGAGAGAGAAUCGUUGUUUACAAAUAUGAGUUACGUUGUGUGGUUUCUGUAACAAGCAAAAAAAAUCUUUACUCAAGUAUACAGAGGAGACAUUGAGUAAGCUUGUUUACAAAAAAUGAAAAUGCAACAUAGAGCUAACAUUGAAUGAAAAAACAAAUUCUUUAGCAUAUGAUAAAAUGGAGUCACUGAGAACAAGAAACAAAUCUUGAACUGAGAUAUUUGUAUAACAUUGGUGGAAUCAUAAACCAGACCACCAGUUCGAUGGAGAGAGAAGACAUUGAAGAAGUACAAAAAAAAUUGAGAAAAUAAGAGACGUUCCUCCGUUGUUAUCAGGUUUGCUUCAGACAGCCAUGAGAUCACCAAAGCCACGCAUGAGGAAGAUUCCUCCUGCAAACACCCCAAGUGCUCUCACAAGUUUCUGCACCCAACAAGUAGACAUUAGAUUUUUGAUGUAAACAACAAAGUCUAAGCAUCAAAAGAACAAGAUAUUCAUAUACUUUCAAGGCAUAGACUUGUGAUUUGACAAAAUCUAAAUCUCUGAGAAACCAAACAUUCCCAAAUUCGGAUUCAAACAAUUGCUCAAGACAUCAUCAAAUGUACAAAGAAAAGCUCUGACUUGGCGUCUCGAAACAUGCAAAGCGAAUCAAAGUCUAAACUCAACUGACUCAAUUCAAGAUAAACCCCUAAACCUUGACUCUCACAAUAGCUGCAAUACCCAACAAAGUUCAAUUGAAGUCAUAGAGAAUCAACUUCGUAGCUCAACUCAGAAUCAAACCAAACAUAAACAGACUCCUCAUAGAGAGAGAAAAAGAAAGAGACUUUACCAUGUUAGCUGCCCACUUCUGCUCAUUGUGGACCUCAGAGUGCCACAGAGCUUUCAGCUGAUCCAUUGAGAUAACACUCUUCACCAUCGUCCCCUGCUCAAAAAUCGCAGCUUUGAUCGUCUAGUUGCCGGAACCUACUUCAAAGCAUCUAACGACACGAACCCUAACUAACAAUAAGUUAAAUAACUCUCUUUAAAACAUUUUGGGCCUAUUUUAAAAUGAUUGAGCCCGCUAAGAGGCCCACUAAAUCUCUUCUUCUUUCUCAUGUCCGAAUCAAUCCGGUUAAAUCCCGGUUUAGAGUAAACCGAUCAAGCAUUUUAGAAUCGAAACUAAUCAGACCAAGCUCUCUCUCUCUAACCAUCAUCAAUGGCGAAAUCAGCGGCGACGGCGACAUCCUCCCUCGUGCAAAACCUCAGACGUUUCAUCAAGAAGCCGUGGGAGAUCACCGGACCCUGCGCUCAUCCGGAGUACCUCGAGUCCGUUCCCAAGGCGACGGAGUAUCGUAUCAGAUGCCCCGCCACGAUCGACGAAGAGGCGAUCGUGCCUACCGCGGAUCCAGAGAAUGUAUACAAUAUCUUGUACCACGCGAGGGAUCAGCGCCGUAACCGUCCGCCGAUCAAGCGUUAUCUGUUGAAGAAGGAGGACGUGGUGGAGAUGAGGAACGAGAAGAAGACGUUCGAGGAGACGGACUUGCCUAGGGUUUACUUGACGACCACUGUUGAGGAGGAUGAGAACGCGCGCGGCGGAGGCUACGAGUAACGAUCAGGUGAGGAAAUUUCGAUUUCUCGUUGGUAAGAGAUUUAUUUUUAUUUUUGUUGGUAAAAUGUAAAUAUUUAUACCAUUUUUGAAUUUUAUCACAUUGUUGCGAACAACUUAUUAGACAGAGAAAUAAAAGAAACAACACAGUGAGACUAUGUGAGAGAUUUGCGAUUGAUUAUGUGAUCAUAUCAAAUUUUUUGAGGUUUAUAUUUGUGUAGAUUACUGUGAUUAAUGUAGAAGUGAGCUAGAUUAUGGUCUAGGCUUGGACCUGACCUUAUGGGGUUUAUAGAUCAUCUGGUUUCGUAAUGGCGAAAUGCAUCAUUGGCUUCUCGUUCUCGUGUGAGUUGUUAAAGUUGUACACUUUUCAUUAACUUCUUUUCCCAGUGUCUGUAUUAUGAAUUUUCAGUUGCAAUCGUGGCCAUAAGUUAAUUAAACUAGUCCAUUUCCUUUGAUUAUGAUCGAGAAUCGACUGAACCGUCAUUAGACCAUUUCGAUUCUACUAGAUUUUAAUUGGAACUCGGGAGUGGAGUAAGCUUUUCCCGCUCUUUACAGUAUCUUUCUCUCUGUGAAAUAAGACUCAGAGCAUUUUGAUUAAUAAGUUUGGACAUUUUGUCUAAAAGAUUUAGAGGUCGAAUGGGUUUAAAAUGAUGGGUUUUUUUUUUGGUUGAUUUAGAAUGUUUUUUGAUGCUUUAGGUUUUUUUCAGAGAGCCUGACUUAACCUGUUGAAAUAGAUCUAUCUAGCUGCUGCUGGAGUUCUAGCCAGUUAGAAAUGUCUGUGUUUGUGCUUUAGCCUACGAUUCUAUACUACCACAGCAGUUUAGUAAUUCAAUAUAUUCUGAGUUUCCAUAUCUUCUCUCUGUAAUUUCGUGUUUUUUUUUUCCCUUUCUUUGUAGGUUUUCUCUAGUCUCUCUUUCCUGUAAUCUGCUGGUGGGGGGGGAAGGAUUGCGUGCGAUAUAUCUCCUUGCGGUCAAAAGAUUCUCCCUGGUUUGUUUGUUUAUUUAAUAAAGAUUCUUAGUAGCUUUAUCUACGACAAAACAGUCUUUUCUUUCCUUCACAAGAACCACAUUGUUGUUCGGUCAUAUUCUCUAUAUUUACGUUCUAUGAUGAACUCAUGUUGAGCUUUUUUCUUUCUCUUUUGUCUAUGGCACACGCAUAUUAAUAGAUACCAUGCCUGGUAAAUUUUGAAACAUUUACCUUUUUUUACUUUGCUUCUUUUUUGCAACAACUAAAUAUCUUGGAUUGUUUUCUUAGACAUGCUUACAAAGUUACAAUACCUUUUUUUCAUGCAGAAAUUUUAGUACUAAGAGAAUAUAUGAUAUAAAAACUGGAUAUAAAUGGUCCAUUGUGAUACUUUACUUUCAUCACCGGCAUGCUUCAAGCCUUCAAACUUAUUAGAGGAACAAAAUACUAAUAAAAAAUAGGGAAAACUGUUUUUUUAGAGCAAAAAAAUAGUAACUAUGUCCCUUUAGACUAAUCUAUAUUUUGUGUCAUAUUUUCCUAUAAUACCCUUUAAUAUUUAUGAAAAUAAUUUUAAUAAAUAGUUUUACAAACAAAAAAAAUUUGGAAAAAUAGUAACAUUUGUUAAAAUACCUAUAUGAACUUAAUGGUAUAUUUUCCAGUUAUAAAAAAGUUAAAAUUAUAAAUUUCAGAAGUUUGGGUGAGAAUUUGAUUUUCUCCCCCUUUGUUCGUGAAUGGGAAAUUAAGGAUUUCGUCCCAGAGAAAUCGAGUUUAAAGAGUUGAAAUCAUGCUUAGUCGGUUCAAAUCAAGUGGGAAUCAACCCGGAUAUAAUCAUACAAAACCAAAAAAAUCGAUUUGGGAUUCUUUCCUGGGCACGGGAUCGAUCGAUCUAUCCUUAGUGGAUCGGUCGAUCUGUAAAGAAUCGACCUUCGCCGAUCGAGUGAAAUGGACCAGGUCGAUCAGUAUAUAUUUCGCGUUUUUUUGUUCUGAAUAAUUAUCGGGAUCGAUCGAUCCACUGUAACUUGUAAAGCUGGAUCGAUCGAUCCCGCUUGUUGAACUCAUUAUUUAUCUUUUUAAAAAAAUUACAAUUUUAAGGGCAUUACUGCCAUUUUCGAAAAAAUUAGUCUAAUAGGACAUAAAGUAGUACAGAUUAGUCUAAAGGGACAUAGUUACCUUUUUUUUGCUCUAAAAAAACAGAUUUCCCUAAAAAAUAUAAGUUGCACUUUGUUUCAUUUUCACAUAAUUGACCACUUAGCUUAUGCAUGCAAAUUCUUCGUCUCUCUCUUCCUUUAUCCCCAACCUAUCUUGUCCUUCCUGUUAUUGCUGCUAACUUUUCUUCUUCUCAAAGCAUUUUUUUAAAUUCAAAUAUCAAAAUCAAAUUCAAAACAGUUUUUGGAACAUAUAUAUAAUCAAAAUCAAAUUUUACAAUAACUACUUUUAAGUUGUAACUUCCUACUCUGUCCCUAUAGUUUAUGAAAAGAACUCUGUCCCUAUAUUUUGUAGCUGAAAAACCAGUGAUACAAUAUGCAUAAAAUGCAUGCAGCCACAUUGUCCUAUUGAUUUAUGUUCUUUUUUUAUUUUAGUAAGAAAUCGGGAGUUGACAAAAGAAAAAGUAAGAGAUCGGGAAAAACAAAGAAGCAUGCUGAACAAUUUAUUUAUGAUAGGAUGUAAUUGACCAACGAAUAAUUAAUUAGAAAAAGACAGCAACUAAUCAGACAUUAAUAAAUUAACAGCAAAGAAUAUAUUUUGUUUUAACAGUAUUUUUUCAGGCAAGUCACCUAUCAGAGUUGUCUUUAGCUAGGACAUGGAUGGCAUGUCGGAAACAUCCGUCUUUUCCCACCAAACCGAACCGGUUAAAGUCACCAAUCCCCGGUUUAAUUCCGGUUAUUAAUACAUUAACCGAUAAAUCUGGAAAAAGGAAAUUAAAAUCCCUAAGAUUACAUAUUAUUACAACUAAACUCCUCCUUACAUUGAGCCAGAUCCGUCCCUCCUCUCUCGAUUCCUGUCUCACUAAGUCUCUCUCUCGCUUGUCCCUCGAAGAUCGACACUUGCCUUUGGCUUAAUCGAAGUCGUCUUCUCCUUCGUUCUUGGAAUAAACCGAAACCAAGCUUUGGUCUCCCAACACCAUACGAUGAACGAUCUUCUGAAGGUGAGAUUUUUAGGGUUUUGUUGAGUUUGAAUUGGGAUGUUGAUUAUCUAUUGUAGAUGCUGAUUUUUCAAAAAUUAAGACACUUUCUUAUGUUCUGCAAUUGAAAUUGAUCAUGUAAUGAAUCAUAAUGUAAUGAUCCUAUGAUGAUAAGCUAAAGUUUUAGUCUUUUCUGAUUAUUUGAUCUUAAGGUUUAGUCUUUUCUGCUUUUUUAUCAUCUGAGACUUAAAGGGUAUAAGCUAAUCGAUUAUUGAGUUUAAGUUGUGGAUUUUUUUUUUUUUUUUUUAUCUUGUAGGGUUCGUUUGAGCUUCCACGGGGCGAAUCUUCUAGACAAAGUGAUGUCGAGCUAGGUGAACAAGGAGGUGAUCAAGGUUUAGACGAGUUCUUCAAAAAGGUAUUUUUACUCAAGUGAUAUACAUUUACUCUAAACCAACUUACUCUGCCUAAGCGUUUUCUUCCUUUGUCUUGUUAGGUUCAAGACAUUGACAAACAAUAUGAAAAGCUUAAUAAGCUUCUCAAGAAACUUCAGGUAUUUUAAACCAAUUACAUAGUAAUUAAUGCUUGUUGGCUUUCCCUUUACCAAAGAUUUAUUAUUCUGUUGCAUUACUGUUUUAAAACCUAUAGGCUGCUCAUGAGGAGUCCAAGGCUGUGACUAAAGCUCCUGCCAUGAAGGGUAAGUUUUGUUCAUUCAUCUUCUUCCUGAAUUAAUUAUUGGUAUGUUUUGGGAUUUAGUGAUAGAAGCAAAUAAGUUUCAAUGAUCAUUAGGGGGUAGUAGCUUGCAUUAGCAGUGGAUAUAAUGAACUUUAGCUUAAGCAUGUACUCCACUGGAACUAUGAAUAAAGCAUUAGAUGAACUAACCAUUCUUAGAUGAGAGAGGAUAUGAACUUCAAGCAGCCACGCUUCUUGUUUUAUUUGACGACUUGAGACUUUUAGUGUUAAUGGUUUGCCAUCCAUAUGUAAUGAACAGCAAUAAAGAAGAAAAUGGAAAAGGACGUUGAUGAAGUCGGAAGUAUUGCUCGUUUCAUAAAGGGGAAACUCGAGGAGCUAGACAAAGAGGUAGUAGAGUCACUGCCUCUUUAGUCUUUUAUCCUUUUAACUUUGCAUUUGUUAAUUUAGUCUUUAUUCAAAAUGUUGUAGAACUUGGCAAAUAGACAAAAACCUGGGUGUGGGAAAGGAUCUGGUGUGGAUCGAUCAAGAACAUCGACCACACUGUAAGUAUUCUUGUUGUUAUCUCAGUCAUUAGUAUUUAAAGUUGGUAUGACUUUGAUGAUCUUUCUUCUUGUGCAACAGUUCCUUAAAGAAGAAGUUUAAAGACAAGAUGGCUGAGUUUCAGGUGAGUUAUGAAGAAAGAAAAAAAAAUAACUUUUUCAAGAUUAUAUUUAAAACUGUUAAUUCCUCAAAUUAAUAUUCUGACUUGUUGUUAUAGGUUCUAAGAGAGAACAUCCAACAAGAGUAUCGCGAGGUUGUUGACAGGCGUAUUUUUACAGGUCUGUAUGCUAUUGAUGUUAUAAGAUUUUGCUUUAUUUAUUUAUUCCUUUUACUUCUUCUUAUUGUUUCUGUGUGUUUCUUUGCAUUAGUAACUGGACAGCGAGCAGAUGAAGAUGUAAGUAAACUAUAGUCUGAGUUUUAUUGUAGUCUUCAGAAGCUUGAACAAAACCUCACUCCUUUGCUGUUUCUUGAUGUUCCAGACUAUUGAUGAGUUGAUUGAAACUGGAAACAGCGAACAAAUCUUCCAGAAAGCGAUUCAGGAGCAAGGAAGAGGACAGGUCUGAUCCUUCUUUUCAUGUUAUAAACAAUCCAAUAUCUUGAACAUGCAAUUUUUUUUUUCUCUCUCUCAGGUAAUGGACACCUUGGCGGAGAUUCAAGAACGUCAUGACGCUGUCAGAGACUUGGAAAAGAAACUUCUCGACUUACAACAAGUAUGUUUUGACUUCAUUAUUCUCUUACACUAAGAUGAAACACCUUUGAGCUGAGUUUUGAUGCAAUCCAUUAGUCAAAUUAAAAGCAUAUUCCCUUUUGUUGUUGCAGAUAUUCAUGGACAUGGCAGUUUUGGUUGAUGCGCAAGGAGAAAUGCUUGACAACAUUGAAUCUCAGGUAAGUGAGUACACACUCUUCAACGUGAAGGCGUUGUAAAUGGUAACUGAUGAUGAGUAUCUGUUGGUUUAGGUGUCAAAUGCUGUAGAUCACGUGCAAUCAGGGAACACAGCUCUUGUAAGAGCGAAGAGCUUACAGAAGAGCUCAAGAAAGUGGAUGUGUAUCGCAAUCAUCAUCCUACUCAUUGUUGUGGCAGUGAUCGUUGUUGGUGUUCUCAAGCCUUGGCAAAACAAGAACGCUUAAGAGGAAAACAGAAAUAACCAUCACUACGUUAUUAUGUAUACGGCUUUUCAUUGAAUGAGUGUUUGUGAAAUGUGUGUGUUUUACCAAGAUAUGAGAAAAAUGAAAAUUCUAUAUUCUUUUUUUUUUAAUUGGAACAAACAAAACCAAUUUUACUCUAUUACUUGUUCAAUUUCAUGAAGGAGAGGAUCUCGGAGGCAAUGUUAUUUGGUUAAUGAGAAACACAUUCUUGACUUUUAGAAACCAGUGUUCAAAAAAUCGUUUUAUAUUUUACAUUUAUAUAAAGAUAUAUUAGUUUUUUGGUUAAUUAUAAAAUUGUUUUAGUGAAUUAUUUUAUACAAAACAAAAACAAACAAAUUUGUUGAUUUGUAUUACAUUAUUACGCAAUUUAACAGAUUUAGAUUAAUUUAAAACGAUUUAACCGAAUUUAGAAUGAAUUAAACCGAUUUGAAUCAUGUGAAUCGGAUUUUUAAAAAGUUAUUUCGGUUAGAACCGUUACUUUCUCCAAUUUGUCCAUGGUACAAAUAUACAUACAAUGAAAGUAACUGAAGAUGAUUAUUAGUAUCUAAAGGCUAGUGAUUGCAAGUAGGCUCUAGCUUUAGCAGCCAUGGCUAGAGACUCCUCAUCUUGUCUUUCCUUUGCGUUACUCACAGCUGCAACAUAAGCUAACCUUGCGUCUUCCAAUCUCCUCAGUUCGGUUUCAUCUACAUCAUCCUAGUUUUAAUGUAAUUGCAACAACUUUAGAUAUGAUAUGACCAACAAAAGAAAGGGAAAAAAAAAAAGAAAGAUGAUUGUAGUUGUGUGUUGACUUACUAGAUAUGGAAGCUGGUCAAACUCAUAUGGGGUUGUUGCAUCAUAAUCAUCCCUGUCUAGUUUCUUGGAUUCUGUUUCGCCAGAGUUUUAAAUACUCGUGUAAACGAAGAGAUGUCUCCUUGAAGAGAAUCUAGAUUAUCUUCAAGCUUGGUUUCUCUUUCUCCUAAUGUCUUUGCUUCCCAUUGAGUCUUCUCACGAGCAGCUUGUCUGUCUGCAAGUUUGAUCUAGUGGAGACAGCGAGAUGAAGCUAUUAACAUCUGAAGAUCGUAUGAUAAAAAAAGGAGAAAUAUGAAGAAACACAAGAGAACAAAAAGUUGUUAGUCUUCUACACCACACUUUGAGCAGAGAGAUAGACAAAAGGGAAAAGAUUUUUUAAAAACAAAAUCUGAACUUUUUUCUCCAACGUUAAUCUGAAAAUACCAACUUUAAAUGACCAUUAUUCCCUCAUCAUCGACUGACUUUUGCUCUUCACUGGGUUUUAAAAGUGUAUUUUUGUUCCCUUGCGUUUACAUUUUAUAUUCUUUUCAAAUUUGGAACAUGUAUUACAAAUUCAUUUUGUUUAUUUUUUACAUGUCACCACCUAAACUCAGGGGCGGAUGCAUAGAAAUUUUUUGUUGGGGGCAUAAGUAAAAUUGUUCAAUGAAAAUAUUUUUGCUACAAACAAUGGGGGCAUGUUUAACUUAUUCAAUGUUUUACAUUAAAUUUUGAAAAGUUAUUGGGGUCAGAUGCCACCUUCUCACACAAAGCCACUGCCUAAACACAUGUAUGUGGCUCAGAACGAGGACAUGCAUUGUUUGUCUUUACGAGUUGCCUACGGAUGAUGCAGAUUUAUGACUGUAUGAGCAAAGGAAGAGCCAGAGAAGAACAAGUAGUACUCAUGGUUUGGUUAUGUAAACCCUCCAUAUAUGAGUUGUCUUUUGAAUAUUGAAUAAUAUUCGAUGUUGAUUGAGUCAAAGAAAUUUCUUAGUUGUUUAUGUUUUAUCCUGUAUUGCGUCUGAGCCAUGUGGUGAUGGUAUAGGCCUUAGGAGGCUUGCUUUUACAUAGAAGUAGAACAUAUCUCAAGUCCAUGACCUAUAAUCGUUUGUUUCAAAACCAUAUCUAUAUAAUAGUAUUUUAUAUACGUAUGUUGACUGUUGAGUAGGUGAGACUUUCACUUUUAACCCUACUAAACUGAAUUAGAAACCCUUUUAUGUGGAACCCAUAUACUUUUUCUAAACAUUCUAAACAUUCCCCGGAACAAAUCCUAACUAAAUCGAAUGAAAGCUGGGAAACAAAUUACUUUGGAAAGGUUUCAGAAUUGAUUUGACAAGUAUCAAACUAUCAAUUUGUAGUUGUGUAACUUACAGCACGAGGGUGCAUGUGAACAAAUGUCAAAAAAAAAAAAAAUUAGGGAGAAAAUGACAAAAAAAAAAGAAUUGCAGAGACAUACACGUGCAGAAGAUAUGUCCCCUAUGAUCACAAAACAUGUUUCCCUGUCUCUACCAAAGAUACAACCAAAGAUGAUGGGUUCUAGUUUUAUGUCUCAAUCUCUCUAUUGUAUACAACUCACUCUGUGUUCACGUGUGUGUUGUAUGUGGCUAUAGCCACAAACGAAAUCUAUGCAACGUUACUUUUUAUAUUAUUCUAAUUAAUGAUCAUAAUUCUUGUACCGGUGGAGAUCUUAGAAUUCAUUCAACUAUGAUGAAUAUCAAUGGAAUAUACAUUGGUUUGGUUUAUGAAAUCCCGAUAUAAAAAUCUAACUAGAUUUUAAUAUUAAAAUGUUUUAGUUUUGAAUUUAAAUAACUCGUCGAUCGGUUUUAGUUCACUGUAUAUCGAUGCAUUGAGUUGUUCGUUAUAAACUAGAUAAAAAUUAAAUUUAUAUGUUAUAAUUUAUAUGAAGCGUAAUUUUUGUUUAUAGAUUGUUAAAUUUUGCUCACGAAUGGCAUGCUAUGAUUGUUACAAAAAAAAGGCAUGCGAUGAUGUAGUAAACAAAACAUGCUAAAAUAUUUAGCUAAUUACAUCUUAUAAAUACUUUACUUCUGUGCUUAGCAACAUCAACACCAUUUUGGUGGGGAAAAAAUUGUUAUCAUAAAAUGUUAUGCAUAUAUUUUUAGUGACUAGCUAGUACAAAAAUUAAUAUAUAGAGAGAGAAUAGAGACAAAUAUAUAGUAAGAUGGCAUAUAUGUAUUUCCAUAAUGGGGUACUAGCUAGCUAUAUAUGGUGACCAUAAAGAAUCAUGCAUUGAUGUACAUCGCAAAAGACCCAAGCUAUCAUCAUCAUUAUCACCAUAUAUAGCCACUAUCAUCGUCACCUUCAUCACUGUGUUAGUACUAUGUUUUCGUUGUAAAUUGUUUAACACUUCUCUAGAGUAUCAACUAAAUAGGCUACUUAUAGUGGAUAAUUAGCAAAUCAUCAGGAAGAAGAUACUUUUCCAUCAUUAAAACAAAAACGUAAACAAAGGACAUAGCAUUUGAUCAUGUAAAAUGAAAACAUUGGAACAUAAAUUAAAUAACAUAAAGUCAAUAAAUUCAAACAAACCCUUGUCUAACUGCACCAACGUAGCUAUGAACUGCACUGUAGCUAUCAUUACCAUCAUCGUGAUUAUAAACAUCAUCAUUAUCAUAAGCAUCGUCAUCAUGAUUGUUGUUGUGAACCCUAGUCUCCACCAAAACCAUCUCUUCAUUAGCCUUCUUCUUUUUCUUUAUUGAGUUUUGCUCCUCAGUAUCUUGAGGAAGUUUGAGAGUUGAUGUCGCUUCCAUGGGACCAGAAGAUGCAUCAGAGUCCAUUGACUCACCACCAUCGCUAUCCUCGUCAUCACCAUCUUCAUAGUAACAGUCGUCAUCAGGAUCAUGAGAAUGUGAGGCUAAAUACAUUGUCCAUCCAGAUUCACAGCUGCGAGAAACGUCUUCGGUUCCAAAGCUCUUUCCAGACUCCAUUUGUAUACAAUUACAACUCUUUUUAGUGGUCUAUAUAGAAGUGAACCAGAAGAAGCAACAAAGAGACCCGACAAAAGAGACCCACUAGAAAGUAAAAACCCUAAAAGCGAGAGAGAAACCACGAGAAGGUGAGAUAUUAAGUAUAAACAAUCUAACAAGCAAGUAUGUGUGUUUGUGUCUCUCUCUCUCUAUAUAUAUAUACAUAAAUGUAAGUGCGUAUACAUAUAGCGUGUAUGUGUGAAGUGUAUGUAUGUGCAUUUGAUGAUAAAAGACAAGAUAAGGAGUUUCUUGAAGAAAAAAAAAUUGGAAAAGGGGAAUAUUCUUCCAAGAAAUAGAGAAAAAUGAAAAUUAUUUGAUUAUUUUUGGGGAAAUUAGAAGAUAAUUAGAGGCUGACUUUUAUAGAUAAGAGGAUGAGUUCAUUGAGUUGGGUGGAAGGAUAGAGAUGGACAAGAGGAUGUAUUUACAACACCUGAGCAUUGCUAUUUAUCUCUCAUCUUCUUUCUGACCAAAUAACAGCUCAUAACCUAAAUUUUAUAUACACAAAUUAAAUAAUACAAGACAAACAUGAAACAUACACAUCCAAUAAUUAAUUUUCAAUGUAUAAUUUUUUUAACAUUUAAUAAUAAAAUUAAAGCUUGAAGACACAAAAAAAAAAUUUGGUGUACCAUACUUUUAAUUAUCAAACACAAAUCAACCCAUAUAUAGUUUCGAAAUAUUGCUAAAUACAUGGGUUAGUCUAGAUAUAAAACCUAAAAUAUUUUACUCAAGCUAACUAAAUUCUCAAAAAACUAUUUUACUCAAUCUAAAUUUGGUGCAUAUGGAUCGGUAAUUUUAUAUGUAAUUACCAUGACUCACCUAAUCAAAAACUAUUUUAUCUCUAACCAUGGAAAAGCAACCAGUGAAUAUUGACCGGUAUUUUUAUAUAUAGCCAUGACCCAAUAUUGAUUAGGUCAUGGAUAUAAGAGAAGUGAAAACCAUGAUUCAACUAAUCAAAAACUAUUUUACUCAAGCUAGCUAAAUUACCAUAUAUUUUUAUAAUCGUGGCUCUUGUCAUCCAUGUGUACUCUGGUAGAAUUAAAGCUUUAAUAAGAAUUUGAACACCAAGACACCCUUUGAUAAGAAAACCUCAGCAAGAAUUGAAUUAAGAAAACAAAAUAUGAGAGAGAUAGAUAGAUAGAGAGGGCCAUAAAUGGAGAGAGUUGAUGAGAACAGCAAGACUCCAGCUAGAAGCCGUGAAGGAGAGAAAGUGAAGUCUCUUAUCUCGCAGAGGUAGUGGUAUCUUUUUAAUUAAUGCAAUAACUCUAAACGUCAUAUCUUAUAAACAAGGUAAUUUUAGGUGUCAUUGAGUUUGUAAUACUGCAAAUUAGCCUUUCACAUAUAGAAAAUAUGAUGUAAUAUAGAGUUUAUAAUGAUAAUUAAUUCAUUUAUUUUUGUCGACAAAGUUAAAUGCAUAUUCUUUCUACACACAAAAAAGUGUACUGUAAAUAAGGAGUGGAAGAUUUACAUCAAUGAUUUGCGAUCAUAUACAAAACGAGAGCAUAGUAUGUACACAUACAAUGUACGAAUACUAAUCAAUGCUAUUCUAUAUUUUAACAUGAAAGUGUAGAGGCAACACUUAUAACGAAGGGAAGUGUAAGGAAAGAAUGUUUCCAAGCUUUUUUUUAUUAUGUUUCCAUUUUUGCAAUCACGAAUUGAAUCAAUAUGGUUGGGGAAGAAAAAAUAUAAUUUAAAGUUAAUAAAAGAAUAAUUAUAAUCUGGUGAGAAAAAUAUUGGAAAAUGUGUAAUGUAUACAUUAAAUAAAGAGUAAUAAAGAUUAUACUAUCCUUGUGACUUGCGCUGUUCUGUCCUUCUUUAAUUUACUGAUGUUAAAGUCCUUUCUCUUCCUCAAAAAGUUCAAACAUCUUUCGCUUGCUUUGUCACAACAGCAAAUUAAUAUAACAUGCAGAAAUUUACCUAUAUCAGGAUUUAUUUAAUUCCAUUACUUCUUCACAUGCAUAUUUAGGAUUGCAGCCUUACAGGCCAUCACUCUAAUUUCAGUUCAUGAUCAUGUUGUGAUGUUGAAGAAUUAUGGUCUUAAUCAGAUUUGAUAAAAGAAAAAGAGGAUACAAGGUCAAUUAAAUAUAUGACUAUAACUUUACAAAUAUUACUAUAUUACUUCAAAAUGAUAUUUAAUAGGAAUAAAAUGAUCAUUGGAGUUUACAAGAGGUACUAAUAUUGCUAAAUAAUUGUGUAAUUUUUCUUUCAACUGAGUUGCGGAAUGUUAAAACUUAAAACAGCUUUUACAACGCUCCUGUUAAUUGUUAUUACUAACAAAAAAAAAUCGUUCAUAGUUUUUUUUUGGGUGUAAAUGUUAAGACGUUCAUAUAGUUAUUAUAAUCAUAAGAAAUUUGUGUAGUUACUAUAUAAAUUAUGUCGUCGCAUACGUAUUUUAUAAAACGAUCAAUGUUAUUGUAUUGGUGAACGCUGAAAAUAUUCUGAAUAAUGUUAUAGCUAAACCUAAAUGUCUGAAUUUCUUUAUAGUUUUGUCACUGAUAUUAGAUGCGAUUUUGUUUUGUUGGUUGGAUAUUUAAAGUUUCUGAAAAUGGAACUAUAGAGAGGUGUAGGUAUAAGUGUAUGAUCAUGAUUUUGGUUGUGGGGAACUGGGGAACUGUAGAUCUUUUCACUUUAAGAGUUACAGAAGACAGAAGUUACGUUUAAAAUAAAUAGCGAUUAGACAUUUAUCUUCCUGAAAAUUGACUUACGUUUUUUAUUUCUUUUGUUUCUUUGAAGUGACUCAAAUCUGUAAAAGUAAAAAGGUCAUACAAUGAUAUAUUUUCUCAAUAUAUAUUCAUAUAUAAGGAAAUAUGUAUUACAUUUUUUUAAAUGGAAUAACUCUUUCAACAACAUGUUAUCAGUAUCUACGGCUAUGCAUUUAUGCGUACCACUGUACCUAGUGAACAAUCCUUUAUGCAUAUCUUAAAAUGCACGAUGGCCUACACACUUUAUAUUAUUUAUACAUACAUGCAUUAUAUGACAACCAAAGAUCAACCGAUCAAGUUGUUAGUUUUGUAAAAAGAACAUCAACUUGUGUGUUCUCCUUGCACUGGUUGAGAAUCUUGAGACUAAUGCAUAAAAAUAUAUGGGGAAAUGAUUUGUACCUAAACAAAGUGGUAACGAUUUUUAGAAAUUAAUAUUAACAAUUAAAAAGUACAUAUAAUUACACAAUGUUUGUCAAAAAAAAAAAAUUACACAAUGUAACAAGACCUUUCUCUUAAUCAGUUAACAGUUUCGUUGGAUAACAAGAAUACGGUGUGACAUUGAUUCACGACAGAAGAAAAAAAAAGUCAUGUCUUUAAUAUUAAAACAUAUUAAGAAAUCUGUCUGAUAAAAUAACAUUAUUUUAAAAUGAAGUCUUACAAAUAGAACAAACGAAAAAUUUAAUGUAUUUUAAUAUGUAUCUAAUAUAGGAUCUUUCAAAAUAGCUAAACAUAUAAAUAAAAAGAAAAAGCAAUGUAUAUUAAAUCCUUUUUUUUUUAACUCUUUAGAUUAUACCACCGGAGUGUGAUGAAUCAUUUGGUGAACUUUGCGAUCAAUUUGUCAACGUGGAUGAUGAUAUCGUCAAUGCGAGGUCGAACCGCAGCCUGAGGUUGCAGCAUCCAAGUCACGAACUGGUGAAGAGCUUCAGGAUAAGAAGCCUUUGGUCCAGCCUUUGGCCAUUUGAUCUUAGCGUUCACGAUUGCGAGCUGAAGACUUCCAUCAGAUUCUUCAAGUACAUAUUCAAACGGAGAGACACCGUACCUGCAAAAACCACAAAAUGAAUAUCCAAAACAAAAACUCUUAUUUAGUGUAAGAGGGAUGAUAAUCGUAUUGUACAUUAUUGCGUAUAGUGUGCAGCCUAGUGACCAUAUGUCUGUUCUCUCAUCAAUAUCAGCAUGGCUUGGGCAAUCCCAGAGCUCGGGAGCUCUGAACGGUGCUGAAGAAUGUUCAGCUGUCCAUUCCUAUUAAAGUCGAGAGAACAUGAAGCAUAUUCCCAAGUUCAUGAUUAAUAAGACAUGGAAUAUAUAUAAACAAUACAGAGUAGUAGUAUGAAUAAGGGAUGGAUAUAGAUAGGGACCUGUAACUGUAAGGCCUCUUGACGGGAGCGGAUUUGCUUCCGUGCUGGACGAGCACUCCCAAAGUCCAUCAAAAUGGCAAGAGGAGUCUGUCCUUUUCUACGCGUUAACAGCACGUUUCCAGGUUUGACAUCGUUGUGAGCAUAUGGUGGCUCCAGAGAGUGCAUGUGUUUGAGUCCAUCACAAAGCUGCAGUGGAAUAGCUCUAGGUAAUCAAAACACUUGCAAUUCACGACUAAUCAUUCAAUAAAUCUUAUACUUCUAGUCACACAAUCAAUCACAUGGUUCUAAAUAUAUACUACAACAGCAUAACGUAAUAGAUAGUUUAGAAACUAACAAGCUAGGUAACAAAAACUAAAUAUGGAUUUAAAAAGAGCGGUUGAUACCUGACGAAAUAUUUGCAAGACAUCAGUUGUUGAGAAAGUUUCCUUUUUAGCCUUCAUCGCUGUGGAAUUAUCCAGCAAGGUUCCAUCCAGGUGAACUGGAAAUAGCAAGAAGGCCUCGUGUUUCCCAGCUCCCUCUUGACCGCCCUAAACAGAUCAAAAGCAACACACUUUUCUUAACUAGACUUCGCACAAGAAAACUACAAAGAAAGUUAUUCAACCAAGUUCCAGAGCAGAGCUUAUCCACCUUAACAGGAAUAAUGGCAUGGUCAAGGAGAGGAAGCAGAUUAGGGUGGCUGAACAAGGACGAAACACGAAUCUCCUCCCGCACAAGUUCCAGCUGCUCCUUGUUCUGAAUUAGAACUUUCUUCAUCGCAUAAGUUCCAUCAUCUACAAUGAAAAUCACAUAUAGGAAAAAUAAACCUUAGUCAUGAACAAAUGAACAAAUGACAAACCAAUCUCAAGAAUCAAAAGAUUCAAAUCCAAAUUAUAUGAAAAUGGAUUCACUGUGAUCACUCUGUUUCGCAAAUCAUCCAAAUUCAACUGCAGAAUCUCAGAUUCACCACGGAUCAAACAACUUACACAAGAUCGAAAUCAGAUUCAACGAUUCCGAGUCAAAUCUAUAUGAAAGUGGAUUCACUGUAAUGCCUAUCAUCUAUAAUCAACUGCAUAAUCUCAAAUGCACCACGGAUCUCACUAUACACAAGAUCGAAACAAGAUCCAACGAUUCCGAGCCUAAACCAAGCACAUACGAUCUCUACAUUGAUUCAAUUUGAUUCCUAUAACAAUCUCUAGCUGACACGAACGAUCUCUAUCAGAUCCAAUCGAUAUAACAACGCAGAUAAAGGAAUAUCAAAUCAUCAAUCACGAUCCAGAGAGAAAUGAUCAGUAGCAGUACUAACCGGAGAGAUGAGCUGGAUCCUUGACUUUCGACGCCAAACCGCCACCGGACGAAGCGUCGGCGACGAUCUCCUUAACCAGAAACACGAACGCGAAGCCGCCUUCGCCGAGCUGCCUCACGAUCCUGAAACGGUUCUCAUUGAUCCACACGUCGCCUCCGCCGGAGUCGUAAAGCGCGUUCAAUCCCGAAAACGAACAGCCCAUACUUGAUUCGUUUGGAUCUGGUGAAGAUUUACACAAUUCGGAGGAUCCUUCAGAUUCGCAUUCUCCAGAUCUCGAGUUUUGGAGGUGAAGCGUUCAUGUCAGCUUAUACGAGCAGUUUUCACUCAAUUUAUUAAUUGAAUAAUUAAUUAGUUGCAGUUUAGCUAAUUGGUUCGGUUAAAAACCACUAAUCUCGAGAGGAAUGGUUUGAUAAGAUUAAUAGGUUCAACCGUUAAACCGAUCAAAUACAUUAAUUUUUAGUCAACGAUUUACAAAAACCCGAUCCAUAAAUUGUGAUCGUAAUUGCCUUACAAUCAGUGUUUUUAAAACCGGACCGAAAGUUCUGAACCGGAUAAUUUUUGAGUCACGGUUUAAUAUGGUUCGAUCGGAUCUAAUCUGGUUUAAUAAUCUAGUUUAAUAUAUUUUUAGUGUGUAGAUUUAAUAAUUAAAAUAUAAAUGAAUUUAAAACAUAAAAAUUUAUAAAUAUAAACUAGUUUUAUGUUUAUAUGCAUAAUUUAGAGAUUUUUGAUAGUUUUAAUGGUUUUUAUCAGUUUAAUAACUCUGAAAUCUAAUCUAACGUAAUCAGUUUAUGGUCAAACUAAUUAUUAGAUUUAAUCCGGCUAUAAGACGGUUCAUGAUCAAAUCCUGAUCAACUAUAGGAUCGGUCUGGUUUUAACAAUACUGAUUGGGCCUUAACACAGUUUCUUUUUGAUGUUUUUGCACCUAGCAAAUAGAAUAAGUAUUAUCUUUGGGCCUUAAUACUGUUUCUUUAUGGAUGUUUUGGCAGCUGGCGACUAGAAUAUAGAAUUAUUAUCCCAGGCUUUAAUAUCUCAUCAUAUUCAUUAAGCAACAAAACCACAGACACAAACACAAACACAUGUUCUUUGAUACUAGUUCCUAAUCAAUCAAAUUACAGAAGUUGAAAGCUCUUUAACAUCGUCAGCGACUUGUUCGUAGUCUGACUUCAACUUUUGGAGAUCUUCUGCACUUAGCUCUCCUUUAGCCGGUUUAAGCAUGACCAAAACACAGCAAGUUGGUCGUUUAGUGGCACCGGCUUGGGCAAGAUCCUGCAUUGCACAAAACAUACUUAGACCUGAGACAAAAGCCAUAAGACUAUAGAAUCUACAGUUUAAGGAAGAACAUUAAACUUACUUCUUUAGAUGGUACGUAGACGUAAGGAAUGCCAGCUUCCUCACACAAGAUUGGAACAUGGGUGAUAACAUCAAUGGGAGAAAUGUUUCCAGCUAUAACACAUAUUCUGCACAAAGAACAACAAUCCAUUACAACACAAACCAGAGGAACAACAAUCUAUUGGUACAACAACACAAAUCAUAGGUACAAAAAGAUGCAUCAAAGAACCUAAACAUACAAGAGAAUGUUGGUUUAAACCAGGCCCGCAAAUCAAAGAAGUUUUCAGAGAGGGCACAGACAUUUCAAACACCAUGAUUCAGUUUCCGUGUACAGUACCAUGCUACAUUCAUUAUAUUUUAAUCCAGAGCAUCGGCUUAAUUGUACACGGAUCACACAUAAACAUAAAGAACAAGCCAAUGAUCAUCAAGAACACAAAAACCAAAUUGCCAAACAUAAAUCACAAGCAAAAACAAACGAGUGUGGAUAUCAACCAGGCCCUCUAAUCAAAGAAAAAACUCAGAGAGGGCAGACAUGUCAAUCCGCAGCAAAGCUCAGUUUACGUGCACAGUACCAUGCUACCUUCAUCUAGUUCAUCCAGAGCAUCGGCUUAAUUGUACACGAAUCAUAUAAAGACAAACCAUACAUUUUUCAAACACUUCAACGUAAACACACAACCAUACGCAAAAUUAAACAGAUAUACUAAUAGAAAUCAACCAUAGUUUUCAAUUAAUGAUAAAAAUGUGGAUCUAAACCAGGCCGUCUAAUCAUAUAUUAAAUCAGAGAUGGCAGACAUGUCGAUCCAUAGUUCACUUUUCGUGUACAGUACCAUGCUACAUUCAUUAUUUAUAAUCCAGAGCAUCGGCUUAAUUAUACACGGAUUAGACAUUAUAACAUAUUCAAUUACAGUACAUUUUCAGACAGCAUUGUACUAACAAAUAAACAAGACAGAGAUAUGUAAUGUGGAUCUAAACCAGGCCGUCUAAUCAUAUAUUAAACUCAGAGAUGGCAGACAUGUCGAUCAAUAAAUCACUUUUCGUAUACAGUACCAUGCUACAUCGGCUUAGUUGUACACGGAUCACACUAUAACAUUAUCAUGACGCAUUCAACACGCAAGAGAUUACAUUUAAAAAUGAAUACUAACCCUUUCUGGCCACGUCUGAUGCUCUUCACCACUUCCUUAACGCCUCUCUUCAAGCAUUUCUUACCAGCAGCUGUUGACAGUGAACAGAACAAUAAACAUCAGACAAAGCUAACAGUAGAAGUUGGAUUCGGAUUGGUACCUUUUUGAAUGAGUUUGAAAGUCCUCUUCUGGAGCUUCUUUCCGGCGAGAGGUUUAGCUAUGGGAGCGAGGGAGAUGACCUUCUUCUUCUCCUUUUGGAUCGACUUCUCUGCUUCUGUAUCGCUUCCCAUGUUUUUAGCUAUAACAAGCAAUAUGAAAUGAGUAAAGAGUGGCGGAAACAAGUAGGGUUUAAGGGUUUUAUAGAUGAGUAGAAGAAAACAAAAUUAUUGGAAAACCCUAAAUUCACAUGGGCUUGAAAAGUAAAGUGUAUGUUGAUUAAAUUAUAUGGGCUGAUUAUUGGGCCUUGAUACAGAAUGUUUGUAUCUUUUCUAUCUUUUACAUUUCACUCCCUAAAGUUGACAGUAUUUAGAAAUAUCACAUGUAAUUCCGUUACAUUUGACUUUUUUCAUUCUUUUUUUUUUUCUGGUAUGCAACUAUUUAGAGGAAUAAAAGGUAGGAUGAAAUGUAGAUGAGAGGGAAUAGUAGUUUUUCACUCAUCCUUUACAAAAUGGUUCAUACUUCCAUCCAAUUUUUAGUCUAGUGAUACAUCUAUUUGAUUGGUAAGUAAGUGAGAUGAAUAUGAAAAUUGCAUAACAUUAAACGUUUGACUAACAAACAUUCUUUAGUAGAAUUGAAUUUUCACACAAGUCACAUUAAUAAUAAUGUACAAAUCUUAUGAAGAUGCAAAACAAGAUAGCAGAAAUCAGAAAAAGAGAACACCAUUCUCCCCCACCUCUUCUGUUUACAAGGUAGAAACCUAUUUACUAUAAAAGAACCACCUCAGAAGCCUGGCGCCACUAACACUUUUCAGAGUGAAUUUGAUUCUUGCUGAUGAACAUUUUUUACACCAAAUCAGCUCUCAACAGUAGCUACGCUUCAUCAACAAGAACUUACUGCCAUGGCUUCAAAUGGGCAUUCUGAUCACUGCAAUUUGAUUCACUAGAAGAAAAAAGAUCAACCAAAUAGGAGAGAAACUAAGAUAUAGAUGCCAUAAACAAGGGUUCACAAUAUUUUAUGAAGUAAUGAUGAAAUAAAAAGCAUUCAUCACUUUAUGAAACAAAUAGAUUGGAUCAUGCAUAAUAACACCGUCAGGUUGGAAAAGGAACAAAGCUACAAGAAAAUAUUGUAUGCGCUAAAAGAGCUGAAGUGGAGAAUCCAUGCACACUUUUUUAUACAUGGAACCAAAACAGAAAACAAUAUCAUAGGACCGUUGUUCGGUCAGAGUCAGACCAAGAAAGGAACCUACAAGAUGAAUCAGCAUAAGUAAUACCAAGAUUCUUCCCUCCCGAAAGAAUCCUAAGUUUGCUUUUUGUUAUUUUAGCAAACUCUUGAUCCAUGGUAGUAGUAAGUGAAAGCAAAAGGCAUAUCAGUCAACUAAAAACAUAUAUGUAUCCUCAGUUAGCAAACAAACAAAAAUAAUGGGAAACUAAACAGACUAUUACCAGAAACAGUAUUCAAUGUAUCUAUGAUCCUAUGAACUCAAAAACAAGGAUUCAAAAGUGAUUGACUAGUGAAGAGGCAACCGCUGGAUGCAGAGGUUUAUCGAUCUGUUCAUGCUUUUAAUCUCUUUCCAACAACAACAAACAACCAAAAAAAAAUCCACAGGAAGAGAUCGAUGAACCGCUGCCUCCAGCGACUUUCACUCUUUUAAUUAAAUUGAAUUAGAAAAAGAAAAGCAAAAAGGAAAACUAGUUUCCCGAUUUGGAGCAAGCAAGCAAUAAAUCUCAGAUCUACAAAAAAAAAUCAACAGGCACCAUAAGUAGUAGUAGUAGCUGGAUGUUCACUGCCUCCACCAAUCAAAAAAAACGCAAAAAAAAAAAACAAAAAAACAACAAUAACGUAAAGCACAUGCAUCUGCAGGUAAACUGGGACAAAGAGGAAUCUGAGAUUUGGAGUACAAGUACAAAUCUAUCAAACCACACAGAGAAAACAUAAAGUAGGGAACAGAGUAAUGAAGUUUGAAUCAGUCAUUUGAUUUUUAUUUUUUAAUUAGCCUAUUGGCGCACAUAUCGCCUCACUCUCAGCUGGUUACAUCACGGAUCACAUUAUAAAAAUAUAACAGGACAAUCAUUACUUAGUUUGUGUUUUGUGGUAGUGCUGACUGUUGACUUUGUUUUGGAUCAGCGUGGGCCUACUAAAUAAGUAAAGUUCAGUAAAAAGCCCAAUUAAUAAUACAAUCUUCUAUCUAGUGUUAUUCAUGGAACAAGUAAUCUACCGUUAAGUUUUAUUAUCGUUUUUAAAUUGCGAUUCUGUAGAGAGAUAAAAACGAUGGAUCUAGUUGGAAAAUCUAAGGAAGAUGCUUCGCUUCCUAAAGGUAAACGUUUGUUAAUUUCAAGGAUUGAAUUGAAUGCUAAACAAUAUGUUAUGUUCUCUUGUGAUGUUUCUCAGCUACAAUGACUAAAAUUAUUAAGGAGAUGUUACCAGCAGAUGUUCGCGUUGCUAGAGAUGCUCAGGAUCUUCUCAUCGAGUGCUGUGUCGGUAAUAAGAUGAUCACUCUUUUGAUUUUUUCUCUUUGUCAUUAGGUGUAAUGUAGCUGAUCAUUAGAAAUGUUGUUGGUCAAUGUGUUUAUGGCAGAGUUUAUAAACCUUAUAUCGUCAGAGUCUAAUGAAGUAUGUAACAAAGAGGAUAAACGAACGAUCGCGCCUGAGCAUGUACUCAAAGCGCUUCAGGUUCUUGGAUUUGGGGAGUACGUUGAAGAAGUCUACUCUGCUUAUGAGCAACAUAAAUACGAAACCAUGGUUAGAUGAUGAUCUAUCACGCUCAUUACUUUUAAGUUCCAGACCAUAAAAUUAAAGAGGCAAGUAACUGGUGUUCCUGCGUUUUUGCAAAUUGUGCAGCAAGAUUCACAGAGGAGUGUGAAGAUGAACACAGGAGCAGAGAUGACUGAAGAGGAAGCAGCAACGGAACAGCAGAGAAUGUUUGCAGAAGCUCGAGCUAGAAUGAAUGGAGGUGGUGUUUCUGUUCCGCAACCAGAGCAGCAACUAGAUACCCAACAGUCAAAUCUACAAAACUAAUCAAGAAGGGGGAAUACUUCUUUAACAUUUUUUUUUCCGUAGCAUUUCUCUGUAAAGUGCAAAGAUUCGUCUUCUUGGUGUUGAUAAGCUCUUUACAUUUUAACCUUAGAUUUGUGUUUUUUUUUAAAAAUCUAAAAUCGCUUGGGUGAUUGAUUCAGAUGUAAUUAGUAAGCAUUGUCUUGUUUCUUUGCAACUGUCGUUUCCAGAUCCUAGCUCCCUAGUCUAUAUGUUUAUUAUAACUUUAUUGUUCUAAAUGCCACAUCUCGAUUUCAAUGUUGGGCAUCUAAUCUGAUGUGAUACUACAUAUGUUGAUAGAAUUUGAAGCGAAAAUAAUACGUGAAAACCCCAAUCAAAAUUUUUUUUUCUGUCCAUUAUUCUAAUUAGGCCUCAAAAAGUGGGAAAAGUGUCAAUUUCGACCCAAACUAUUUCAGUCGUGCCAAAUACGACCCGAACAAUUGAUCAGUGCCAAAUACGACCUCAACUCAAUUAUAAUUCAAAAAAACUACCCGAACUUCUUAAAACGUGCCUAAAUCUACAUUGACUCUAACAGAAGUUAGUCAACCGUUAACAAGAUAAAACGACGUCGUUUGAUAUACGAGGAAUUUUUAAAAAAAAUACAUAUAUCAAAACAACAUCGUCUUAUCUUUGUUAAAAGUUGAUUAACUUCUGUUAGAGUUAAUGUAGAUUUAGACACGUUUUAGAAAAAAAUUGGAUAAUUUUUUUUUAAAUUAUAAUUGAGUUGAGGUCGUUUUUGGCACUGACCAUUUGUUCGGGUCUUAUUUGGCACGAUUCAGAGUGUUGGGGUCGAAAUUGGCACUUUUCCUCGUAUAUCAAACGACGUCGUUUUAUCUUGUUAACGGUUGACUAACUUCUGUUAGAGUCAAUGUAGAUUUAGGCACGUUUUAAGAAGUUCGGGUAGUUUUUUUGAAUUAUAAUUGAGUUGAGGUCGUAUUUGGCACUGAUCAAUUGUUCGGGUCGUAUUUGGCACGACUGAAAUAGUUUUGGUCGAAAUUGGCACUUUUCCCUCAAAAAGUAGCCUGAAUCAACUCUCAAAAUCGUUAAAAAGAAUGGAGAUGCGGGGUAUCGAUCCCCGUACCUCUCGCAUGCUAAGCGAGCGCUCUACCAUCUGAGCUACAUCCCCGUUGACAAAGACUACCAUCGAAAAUUUUUAAUGCUUGUGAGCUACACAGUUCAACACUCUAUUUGCCAUUUGGCAUGGUUCUCAUCGUUCUCAACAUCCAACCGAACCGUACCAUUAACUCAAGAAACCUUAUACAGGUUCCUAAUGGAUUGUGGUUUAUUUAAUAGUUGGUUUAAUUUUGGUUAGGCAAAGAAGAAUGGAUUUGAUUAACUCUCCCUCCCUCCUUGGCCGACAUUAUACAUGCUUUAUUUUGUCAAACAUACAGACCCGAUUUUUGACUUUAGAACCAGCUAUUUUAUCCAGUGGUGGGAUCAAUGCAGAUAAUUUGGCAUUGACCGAAUCAGACUCACACUGUUGAUAAUCUUAUUAUUCUUUUCCAACACUUUAUUAUAAACAUUUGUUACUAUAAAAACAGUGGUUUACAUGACUUUGAAAAUAGAAUGAAAACCAAUAAUCUCUAGUCCACGAGUUUCGUCAUUUUCCUCACCGUUCGAUUUUUUGUUUCCACAAGCUGAUGUUUGAAUUGUGAUCAAAUCUAGUUUCGGAUAGCUAGAGAGAUUAGAUUACUAUGUUUAUGGAUCGUCGAGAGAGAAGGCUUUCUAAUCGCAACGGCACUCCUCCUGAAUACACCAACGGAAAAUUCCGCGACGAUAAAAAUGGUUACGGUGGAGGCUCCUUCUUUGAUCCUUCUAGUUCGAACAUCCUUCGCAUCCCGUCUCCGACUUCUUCUUCUCCUCCGCGUUCCAGCUCCCCUGACCGUGGCUACAUCGAGCACCGCGUCUCCAAGUUCGAUACUCUCGCCGGCGUUGCCAUCAAAUACGGCGUUGAGGUUAAAAAUAAAAAUUAUAUGUUUUGACUUAAUAUUGCGUUAUUUUAAUUAGAGACAAAAAGGUAGAAAUUAACUUUUAAUUGUACUGGUAAAAAAGCCAUUUUUUAUUUAGAUUGAGGCAUGAUGAAGAACACGUGAGGAAUUAAAGUGUUAUUUGAUGUUCUGUUUUUUUUUAUGUUCUGUUUUUUUUGAUGUUUUUGAUGUAUGAUUAAGAACACGUGAGGACCGCGUCUCCAUGUUAUGCUUUUUGAUGUUCUGUUUUUUUUUUUGUGUGUUUGUUGUUAAAAUGCUCUGCUUUCACGUUGGAGAUGUGAAAAAGAUGAAUGGGCUUGUUAUUUUUUAUUUUCGAACAUUUUGAAUUUCUUUUUUAUGUUUGUUGUUAAAAUGCUCUGCUUUCAGGUUGGAGAUGUUAAGAAGAUGAAUGGGCUUGUUACUGAUCUUCAAAUGUUUGCUCUCAAGUCUCUCCGGAUCCCUUUACCUGGAAGACAUCCUCCUUCUCCUUGUUGAUCUAUCGGCUCCUUACACCAUGGGUGGGUACUUAACCACAUCUUUACCUUGCACCAAGUUACAGCUUUGAUAUAAGAGGUGCCGGUCUUUCACAAAGCCGGAUGAAACGUUCGCUUAAAACUCCCAAAUUUUAAGAAAAAAAUACAUAGACAUAAGUCUCCAAAUUUAUAAAAAAGCUCCCAAAAAAUACAUAGACAUAAGUCUCCAAAUUUUUAUUGAAAUUUUACCCAAAAUCUCAGGCCGGCUGAAAAUGAAAAUUAUAGACAUGGUCUUGUUAUUGCAGAGUAGUUUACAUUACCCAAGCUUUAUUUUUUGAACUGGUUGUGUUGGACUGAAGCUGCUGCAUGUUCAUUAUCAAAGUGAUCCUCUUGGUUCUAAUAUUUGGAAUCUUUAUUUACAGAGAGGGAUGUUCAUGCCACGAACUGGAACCACAAAACGAUACCAACAGCGACGCGUUUGACUCAUUCCAGUCUCUGAGGUUGAAAUCUUCAAAGAAGAAAGGCUACUACGCGCUAAAACCACCAAUCAGAACAGUUUCUGUAGGAGGAAGCUUAGAGAUGGGUACUUACAAGAAAGAAAGCAACGGUGAUAGUCAAUACCUCAGACCUUUCCCAUCCACAAACACUCCCUUAAACCACCACAGGAAGUCCAGAAGCUUAGUCAAUGCACUUCUCGAAGAGUUCAACCAAUCAUCUCAAGAACCGAGUUCCAAUAAGUUUAUGAGAAGGCGACAAAAGUCCGAAGCCGACUUUACAUCCCGGACUCCAGAGCUUAUGUUGAAAGAAGAGAACACUAGCAGCAGCAACGGCGGGUUCUUAUCAUCAGUAGGAGGGAAAGGUUUAGCUUUGAGAUCAAAAGCCUCGAGUAGAACUAGUCUAUCAUCAGCAGAGUCUGAGACUUGUAGUUUCAAUCCAGUACCAAUGAACUUGAUGGAUGCUCCAGUUUCAGACAGCUUUGCCAGUGUAAGAAAAUCUUCAAGUGCAUCGAGUUUACAAGAUCCAGACGGUAACAGCAAUAACGGUUCAUCGUCACUGUCUCUAUGGUCGACUUCUACACCUGCUGCUAUUACAAGCUCAAUCUUUGAUGGGUUGCCUAAGCCUUUAACAGGGAGGAGAAACAAAACGGCUAUGGACUAAAGUAAAAUGGUCAGUUUCUCUUUUAUUUAAUUGUCACAUUCUUUUUGUUGAAACUAUACAAAUCAAAAGUAGAAGAAGCUGUGUUUAGGCCUUAGUGCGGAGUAAAUAGAAGUAAAGAGAGUAUAGAACAUCUGAAGUUGUGAUGGUGAAUGUAAUACUUUUUUUAAUUAUAAUGAGCAUACAAAAAAACAAUCAAAACAAGAAGGUUACCUUUCUCUCUCAAAUCAAAAAAGUUACUAACAGAUUUAGGAAGAAGAAGAAAAGGGAUCUAUGAUGUUGGAAAACUCCUCUAGCCUAGUCUCUCUGUCCAUGUCACAGCCCUUCUUCCUCUUCUUUAACUGGCUUAGUUGCUGAAGAAGCCUGGACCAGCACGGGAAACUUUUAAUGUGAGAGCUCUGUUGCUAAAAUUUACUUCGCAAAUAAUAGUAUAGAUAUACACAAAUAUAACUUACUUCUCGACCAAGAAUUUGUCGGUUGAUUCUGUAGAUAAUAUGCUAGUAAACAAGUUGCAAACAAGACAUCAGAAUCCAUAAAUAUUUACAUUAGAAAAGAAAAAAAAUUCUAAAUUAACUUUAAGUAAAUAUACUCCUUAUACUCACGGGAGACCUAUAAAAGCACCAUUAACUCUAGCACCCCAAAUGAGAUGUUUAUUUUUUUUUAAUUUUUUUUAGUUUUUUGUCUGAUUUAAAAAAAAACAAAUAUUAAAACGAACCAAUCGCGCACCGCCACGUGUCAGUGGAGCCCGCAAAACAGUACAAGACUAAUAAAGGCUCGUGCAGGGACGCUAACUUUUUUUUUUUGCUAAGCCGUCUCUUUCUGGGUGGGACCGAGAGAAUUACUUGUCUGAAAGCGGAAAGAGAAUAGGUCUCAACGAGCAUUGGUAAAGCUAGAAAGCAACCGAAAGAGGCACAUCAAAAGGUCUGAUGUUUGAUCUGAGAGCAUCAUUAUCCCACAUACUCAUUUAGAGGUUCUUAAUCAUUUUUUAAUAAUUUUUAGUUGGAAAAGUAGGUUUAAGAGACUUAGUUAAAAGACAUGUAUAUUUGUAUGGUCCAUUGCAAGUCUUUUAUCUAUGGGUUCUUAAAAAAAAAAUAUGAAGGGUUCUCUUCUUCUCAAACUCAAAAGAUAGACAUCAAAACUUGGGAUAGACAAUUAAAACUAGGGAUAGACAGUUAAAUACAUAUAAUCGAAGGUAGCUAACGUACAGAGCUUAAUUGAGUGUUGAAAGCAUGACUUAGAAGUAGAUUAUUCCCAAAAGACUUGAGCAAAUGAUUUCUUGCCAAAUAAUAUAUCUUAUUUUUUCUAUCUCACAACAGAGAAUUCAAAGCUAGAGAUGGACAUCAAAGCUAGAGAGAGUCAAAUUACAAACAUGAAACAAUGAGACAUUCACAUAUAUAUAUAUAUAUAUAUAAUUAAAGAAAGUGAUGAACAGAGCAUCUAUGUGUGUCCGCAAGCCAAAAGGUUAAACCAAAAAUACAAACUAGUCUGAUUCUUGGAAAAGUUGAUGUACCUUAGCAUCGCUGUGGACAAACUGAAUACCAUGUCCUGGAUAUAUCGUAGAAGAGCAGAACCAACACUUGACCAAUCUCAUCUUGUCUCCUCCUUAAAAGAUCCCUACAAGAACACAUAUGAAUCACAACAAAGAAGAGAUUCAUUCAGACAUCAAAUUGAAGCAAAAUCAUAAAGACUAAACACAACUAGUAGAGAUUUUUCCUUAGAAACAAGUUUACUCAAAAACAAUACGAGGAAGGCAGAUAAAAGUUUCAAUGUUUAUCUAAUUAUUGGUUUCACUAUCUCACUCUCUGAACUGUGGUGAUGUCUGGGUCAAGAUGCUUGAAGAAGCCAAAUCCGACGUAGAGCAAGAACUCAUUUUGUCAAGCUACUAUCACCAACAAGACAUUCAGCAAUCUGCAUCUGACGAGCCUGAGAACCACUGGGACGACGACCUCCUCCUCUCUGCAUCACCAUCUUCGUGCUGAUUAAGUGAGAGACCAUUGGUUCCUGGUCUCAGCUCACUGACCUUGGUGAACACUGGCUUCCUCAACGCAGGUGAUGCCUCAGCCAAGUUCACUUUUAAAUUCCAAGUUCAUCUUUAUCAGAACCAUGUUUCGUCAGACCAUUAACAGCCUUUCCUAUCUCAGUACUCUGUAGACAGAUAACCUUAAAGAUCAAACACGCACUCUCAUUCAAAACCUCAGGAACAACAACUUGAUACACAAUGAACCAACCUUGAGAAUAUCCACAUUCAAAGACAUCAACUUUAGCUUCCUUAGAUAAUCAAGUAUCACUGAGUGUGGCUACAUAACACACACACACACAAAAAAUCAAGCUUCCAUGAUCAAAAAUUACAAUUUUAAGGAAAUUUAAAAGAUCAAAAACAAACCUCGAUGUCUUUGUCGAGCAAGAUGUCUUUGAUCCUAACAACCUUCUUAGAAGCCAUUGAAAACUCUUCAAUCGCAUCACUCAAGGCCUCAGCUUCAUCUUCUUCUUCUUCAUAACUAUAAUUGCUAACAAUCUGAUUAUUGUUAUCUCAUCUGCUACUUUAAGGGAACUGAGAGAUUGGUGGUUCCCAGAAUGGCCUCUGCAAUCCCAUGAGCAUACCGAGGCUACAACAGAUGAUUGAGAUCCUAAAUGGGAGACUACAACACAGGAAAAAAAAACACCAGAGAAACUAUCCACUGAUUCCAUUCAUCAUCGAGAAGAGAAGAAGGCGGAGUCGAGGAUUCAGGAGAGAGAGAAAGACGACGAAGAAAGAGAGACACGUGUCUCUAAGAGACGUCUCUUGUGGCCCUUAAUUAAGAGACGUUUUUACUCUUAAUGCAUAAUUUUUUUUUUCUAAUUAUAAAAACAUUAAAAACCCUACCUAAGAAACGGCGAUGAUGGUGCUCUGACGUCUUUGGCAUCGUUUCUUCCUCUCUUGCGGUGGAGCCCACCCCUUAGCACUCCCCUAAAUCCCCACGUUAAUCCUGCCCUAAAUGUACUCGCAACCACUGUCUAUCAGAACUUUAUCACAGUAUUGUGCUGCAAACAAAAUGAUAAUAUAAUUUUGGUUACUUACUAGAAAAAAAAAAUCAUUUUUCAAGUAAACAAGUGAUUGUUACCUAGAUGACCCGCAACCGAAACCGAAUACAUAUGAAUCUUCCACUGGUUAGAGUUGUCGACGAGAUCAAAAUAUUGGUGGUGACCUUCGUAAUGUUCCUGACUGACACCUCCAAAGCUUAGGCGUCCACCGUCGUUGCCAUGAAAAUGAUAAUUUCGCAGGUAAAGUGAAAACCCUGGUUCAUCAGUGUCAUCCUAAAAUACAAAUAAUUAAGCGUUCAUAUUAUUAAACAUGCAAACGCAAUACAAGAUAUGGAGACGUCACGUGUCAUUUCUUAUAUUUAAAAGGGAGUUUUGGGCCACCUAAGUUUUCAUCAACGAUGAACUAUUGAGUGGUAACUAAUUAAAAUUAAUAAAAGAAACGUAAAAGGUAUUACCAGAUAGGAACAGCACUGCAUCAAUAUUGGCUGGCAGAGGUAAUCCAAGUCCCACAAACCCAUCAUAGGGAAGAUUAAUGUAAAACUGACGUGGAACGACCCUUCGACAGACUACGAACUCUUGUGGACCAACCAUAACAAGGUUUCCCAUGGGUCCUAACAUCAUGUGCUCGGUUCUCCUCCUCCCGGAUAUGGUGACAGCACCAUUUCGCAACCUAAUCGAGGCCAACGUUCCUUAUACGACAAAGCCCAAACACACACAAUCCUCAGUUUUUUUAGUGGACAUAGAAAGACAUGGACAUUACUUCAAGAAAGAUAUAUAUAUAUAUAUAUUACCAGGAGCUUUCGUUGUACGUGGGUUUUUAUAGGAAGGGGAAGGGAAAACCCUAGGUCUUUGCCAAAUGGGCCGUAGAGAAGCCCAUAUUCAUAAAGAAUUUUAUGGGCCAGGAACCGGGCCGUUACAGUAGAGAAUGGUGCCUUUAACCGAGUAAUGAGUUGUGUAUAGGACAUAUCCAUUGUUGAUUAAUAUGACUUGUGUUUUAACUUGCUUCUCUCUUGCCUUUUUAUGCAGGAGAACGCAUCAAGUAUUUGAUAUGGCUGUUAGGGUUUUCAAGAACAUACUACAGAGAGAGACAUGGAAAUUGGUCGGAACCUUGGAAACAGGAUUCUUAGAGGGCUUGACCGGAUGAAGACAUCAGCGCAGGUUCUAAGCCCAAAACAGAUAGAGCCAAGCAUAGGCAAGGCGAAGAGACUAUUAGAUUCAACUCGUCUCAAACCGCAUGCCAGCACGAAGACUCCUCCGAGUAAUGAAGUCGGUAGGCACUUGUUCUUGUCUUUGAGGAACCUUCGGCCCAAGUUUCCCCCAGCUAUCUCAAUGAUGAUGAAGAUCAAGCCGCCAAGACCCAUUAGAAGUACCACUCAGCACGCGAUUGAUAACCAAAUAUAAAUAGAUACGGUGUAAUAUUAAUUUGGAAAAGUGAAAAUACCGGGCAGUUCUAAAUUUGUGUUUACAAGAGCUUGGAGAUGAUAAAACGUUCUAAGCAUAAACUUCAGAUAAUCACAUGAGUAGCGGUUACGCCUUCAUCAAUAAGUUUUUAAGGAAUGAAACGUAAUCUUGUACAUUUUGUGCAUCUUGCAACUUCAGACCUAUCAACUUUUAUAAUGGAACCGUCCAUCUUUAGUGGACGGUAGUGGUCGGCGCGAACAGCUCUGUGAAUCACCGAAUUCUGCGUAUGCAGUCAGAAGAGGAAGUCAACAUUUUUUAAAACCUCUCUUUACAAUCCAAACUUUAUAUCAUGCGAAGUGUAGAUUUUUUUUUAUUUAAAAAAUAAGAUGGAAUAAAUCAUGUUUUACAUUGUGAAGAAGACCAUACCUUUUCAUCAAGGAAAAAGGAAGGGAUUCCCAUAAACUGAUCAACAAUGUAUUAGGAAGUUCUAUCAAAUCGAAGAGCAUCAAAGGUUGAGUGAUAGCUGAUUGGAAAACAUUGUUCUAGGGGAGGAGCCCCGGGUUUUAUAAUACUCAAAAAAUGUAAAAUGUGGUGGAUUUGGGUGAUUUUUUGGUUUAGUUGAAGUGGUUUUAAUUAAAUUUCAGAAAUUAGAGUGAAGUUUUUGAUGCAAGAAACAAAUCAAAAGGGAAGGCUAGAUUAUAAAACAAACAUCACAUUGUGGAACCAAGUAAAGUUAUGUGGGAAGUCCUUUUAGUCACACUACGGUUAUCAAAAAAAAUUAUCAAAAAAAAAAAAAAAAAUCCUUGUAGUCACCAUUAAUAGUGUUAUCAAUACGUUAUUUAUACAUUCUGAAAUAAUUUCUUGGUAAAGAUGCUUCUAGACAGAUAUCCAUAUUCAAAUGUCAAAAGCUACGGUAUAUGUUAAAUCGAAAUUGGAAAAAGAAAUGAACAGCGACAAUGUCCAUAACAUUUUAUAAAUAUACAUGAUGGUUAGUUAUCAAAAAAAAGAUGGUUAGUUAUAGUAACUCAUAUCACACUAUCACAUCCCUAAGUGCCGAAACAUAAGAAAAUGGCGCAUCCUAUGAUCUUCUCACUGCCUUCACUCAUCCUUCUCCACCAAGCAAGUACAUCUCAAUCUUACUACAAACCAAAGGCUCAAGCAUUUCUGCACCCUAUUUACAAGGACAAGACCACAAAUCUCUACUCCUUGCCUUUGACCAUCGGCUCGAACCUCCACAGCCAAAACUUCCUCAUUGACCUCAACGGAGCCGCGCCGCUAUUGCUAAACUGCACCGCCGCCUCCACCUCCUACCACUCCAUCAGAUUCGCAAACCCGAACUCUUCAUGUCCCAAGAACACAACCAAUAAGCCCCUGUGCCGUAAAUACGUUUCAACAUCGUUUAUGGAUCGACCAGUCAAUGCGAGGCUCUGACAUAUUGUUGGCUUACUAUACACACCUAAUGGAGUAUACUCCAUGGACGUCGAAAGAUCUCUACGUUGACUUUGAUGUGCACUACGAUGCUACUGCCUUGAAACCUAUCCCCAAGGCUUUCGGUGGAUCCAUUGGGCUCGCUAACAACCACUUAUCUGUUCCCUCGCAGCUUGUCUCCAUGUACAAGCUUCCUCCAAAGAUGUCUCUUUGCUUGCCUUCCACGGAAGGUAUGAAGUCUUAUCACAAUGGUGACUUUCGGAUCAGCGGCGCUCCUUUUUUCUAUAUAUCUACCUUACCUUAAAGAUGCGUCUAAGAUCUUUUCCUCGACGCCUUAAAGAUAAUUUCUUGUCUUUCUUGAUCCUUUUGCUAUUUGAGUCUGCUCAAUAUUUUUAGUACCUUUGCAAAGUGCGUCUCAGAACUCAAUGCAACGUACAGCCUGUACGAAGAAGAACACAAAGUGGCGUCUCAGAUCAGUGUUUCCAGGAUAUUUUUCAACAGCAUAUAUCCAAAUAUAACAACAAACAUGAAGUCGAGGGAAAAAGAUAAAUGUCAAUGAAAGCCAAGCUUAAGAUCUUAUUAAGCUUGUCACCAACAAAGGUUUCUCUGAGUUAAUAGAUAAUGUGAGUCCCUAAUAUGUACAUGACAUGAUUAUGAUCUAAGAGAACAAAAGCCUUUGCGAAAGGAAAAGGCAAAGAAGAAGCAAUGUAUUCUUCAAGCAAUGAGUCAAAGAGAGAACAUGAAGCAUUCUUCACAGCAAUCAAAUAGUUUGGAGAAGUGGUGGGAGAGACUUAUACGAUAACUUUCAGUUUCUCUUUGAUUUUCUUUUUUUCCUUCAAGACCAUGUUGGCAAAGCCUUGCAUCGCUCUUUGGUGGAUCAUACAAAGUCACAGUUUAAUGCCAAUAAAUCAGAAACGUUUCAUUUUAAGGAGGAUAAAAAGACAUCAAAUCUCAAUAAUUUUAAAAGAAAUGUCACUACCAAAAAUUUACCAGACAAUACAGAGGAGAGAACAUCAAUAAAAUCUUUGCGAUAAGUUGUUACUAGCAAUUUUUAUAUGUAACUGUAGACGGUAGAAGUGACGAAUCAGUUAAAUUGAAAGAUAUGGAAGAGUCUAGAGAAUGUAACUUGACGCGUAACGCCUAGGCGGCCGAGUUUUAGAACAGGGGUUUUAAGCAAAAAAAUAAAAUAAAAUACUAAGCUUAUGUACUCGUUUUAUUUAGUGAUGCUCUUAACUUUCUAACGUGAAUAAUUUACGUCACUUUUAUGUUCUCGGUUUUACAGAAUUGGAUUAUUAUUAUUAUAGAUGUAAUCUGAAUAAUUGAUAGCUGCCCAAAAAAGAAUAAUUGAUAGAUGGGAGUUUUUAUCGGCAAUAGGAGAUAUAACCGAGAUAUGGUUAGGUAAGGAGAUUCGAGAUUUUGGUUUCAGUAUUUCAAUUGAUUUUUUCGGCUAGUUAUUUAAUGUUGUCAAAUGAAAAUAAGGCUAUGAUAUAGUCUUGUAAUAUUUAAGGUAAAUAAGGGUUAAUUUUAAUUUGUACUUCAUUUUUAAUAGAUUAGAUAUAUCAUAUUUGUAUAACCUUAGUUGUGUUAUAAACCAAAUGAUGAUCGAGCAUGGACCAGCCUUCUGUUCCCUCGCAGCUUGUCUCCAUGUACAAGCUUCCUCCAAAGUUGUCUCUUUGCUUGCCUUCCACGGAAGGUAUGAAGUCUUAUCACAAUGGUGACUUUCGGAUCGGCGGCGCUCCUUUUUUCUAUAUAUCUACCUUACCUUAAAGAUGCGUCUAAGAUCUUUUCCUCGACGCCUUAAAGAUAAUUUCUUGUCUUUCUUGAUCCUUUUGCUAUUUGAGUCUGCUCAAUAUUUUUAGUACCUUUGCAAAGUGCGUCUCAGAACUCAAUGCAACGUACAGCCUGUACGAAGAAGAACACAAAGUGGCGUCUCAGAUCUGAACUUAGUUUACCUCGUUAUCUGCAAGGCCUAAGCAAAUGCAAUAUUGUGUUGGACAGAUCCAGUAUUCACAUCAAGAAGAUUUAGUAGUGAGAUGAUGCCUCCUCUUUGUCCGAUGCCAGCUUGAUUGUGUGUGUCCUGCAACAUUUAAAAUAUUGCAUUGAGAAUAUACCAGCGUAUUAAGAUAUGUUCCAAGCAAAAAAAGAAUUGCAACUUUUGUUCUUAUCACAUAAAAGGUCUGAUUUAAUAAUAAUCAUCCAUAAAGAACCAGAUUCAGGAAAACACAAGUGCCUGAGCCAAUCGACCAAGAGCAAAAGCUGACAUUUCCACGACCUGCUCAUCUGAUGACUGAAGCAUCUUAAUCAAUGGUGUAAUGGCACCUCUCUGGGCAAUGUGCACCUGCAUUAUCAUUUUGUCGGUAUGUUAAUACAAGUGUUACAUCCAAGUUACAAUAUUCUCGACGACAUGCAAUAAUCUGGGUUUAAGAAAGCAUUUGAACAUGCAAUGACGCUAGUAUCUAUAUUAUUGACGAUAUGCAGUGGAAAGAUACCUUUUUAAAUAAGGAUCUCUUAAAUUCCCCAGAGCUGUCACACUCGAGACAUUGACAACGAAUGGUCCUUUGUUUCUUGGAGACAGCACGGCUUAACUUGACCAUGGUGUAAGGCACCACUGGAAUAGCCAUGAUCGUCAAAAUGAAAAUGGGAAACAAUGCGCUGAGUUUUCAGGGAUCCUGCAAGGAGAAGGUCUUCUAUAAAUCUGACAUCUAAAAACAGAAUAAAUUCAUGAUCUGAAGUUAUACUAGGGCUGGAUCUGAGGGUGUCCAUUGAAAUUAGGGGUUCUUCGUCACGGCGAUCAACUACAAUAGAUCCCAACUAAUCUAGGUAAGGUCUAAACCGAUUCAAAUUCUUUGCGACUUCUCCUCUGUUUGGAUUUGUUUAUCUAAUCUGUUAUCUUUUCAUCCAGGAAGAGCAGUGUGAUUCCAAUAAACUCACCGCCUUUCUUUUAAUGUUGCGGGAAUCCCAGAAGCGGAGGAGACGGCCAACAAUGAAUUGAGUGGUACGACCAAGCCGGAGAGAGUCAAAGCUUGAGUAACUGGAGCAGCAGAGAGAGACAAUUUUAGGAGAAGUAGAGGAAGCCAUGAGUUUUUUUUAGUAGAAGAACUCCUGAGAUAUAUAAACGACUUCGAAGAUAUAGAGACCUUUUUCGCUUUAAAAAAAAAAAAUUUAAGUGGAUCCCACUACCUGCCGACAUGGACACCGUUAGACUACCUGCCAACAUGGACACCGUUAGAACUGAGCAAAAAAUGAUCUAUUAUAAUAUAGAUUUUUUACUUAAAAUAUAAAAGAAAUAUAUAGGUAUUGAAUGUUAUGAGUGGAACGACGAAAACGCAUGGCAGAACAGAAAUCAUGGUAUGGGUCACAAAUAUGUGCAAGAGCCAAAUCAAUUCGCCUUUGUAUAAUCUUCUCAGUGGUUCUCAUCAGAUAUAAUAAUUGGUUCAUUAAGAGACCUUUUUCGCUUUAAAAAAAAAAAAUUUAAGUGGAUCCCACUACCUGCCGACAUGGACACCGUUAGACUACCUGCCAACAUGGACACCGUUAGAACUGAGCAAAAAAUGAUCUAUUAUAAUAUAGAUUUUUUACUUAAAAUAUAAAAGAAAUAUAUAGGUAUUGAAUGUUAUGAGUGGAACGACGAAAACGCAUGGCAGAACAGAAAUCAUGGUAUCAUUCAUCUCUAAUAACUAUACAAAACACAUGAUGUGGUUUAAAAUUAAAAAAAAUAAUAAAAAAAGAAACAGAAAGUGCGUUUUAGAAUACGCACGCGAACCACAGAAGUAGCAAAGUAGGUGUGGUUUGUUAAGUGGUUUAGUGGUUUAAUUUUUUUUUCUUCUUUCAGAAAUUUUGUUUGUGUAUAAAUAGAUAUAAAAGAGGGAAAUUUUGCAGAUACAACUUCAAAGCAACUAGCAAAGGUAUGGCAAUAUAUCUGGAGUUUUCUUUAUUUCAGUUUAUUUUUUUUUAUUUAAUUUCAUUAACAAUUUUUUGUCAUUUCAUUUUUUUUUGCAGGUGCACCUUGAAAUCACAUUUGAAUUUUGGAAAGGUACACCCAUGAAUCUUAAACGUAUUUCAAUUUUUUCACAUUUUUAGUUUAUAAAUAUUAAUAAUUAAGUUUAAAAUAUAUAUUUUAAUCUUAUUUUCAUAUAUGAAACAAAAAACUGUUAUUUAAAAAAUAUAAUAAUACAAUAUAAACUACUAUAUAUUUAUAUAUCAAAACUUAAUUAUUUAAGUUAAAUUAUUAUAGAAAAUUUUUAAUUGCGUAAAAUAUAUUAAUGUUAAUUUUCUAGUUGGUGGUUGUUUUCUCAAAGUGUUUUUUAAAACAUUUAUAUUAAGUUCAUCAAGUUCUACAUUGGAAGCAAUUGAAUUGCUUACACCAUUUCAAGUUUGUGUGUAUGAUUUUUUUUUUCAUUUCAAAUUUUUCUUUUUACAUUUCAUUUUCAUUAACUUAUAAAUAUAUGCAAUAUACAUAAUAUAAAAUAAUAUAUAUGUAAAGAUUUAUUUAUUGAAGUUAAAAAUGUACGAACAAUUUUAGUUGUGUAGAAUAUAUAAUGCAAAUUAAUGAUAAUUUUUGUUAUUAAUUAUAUUUUUACUGUUUAACAAACCCUAGAUUUUUAUGUGUUAAGAGAACUAUAUAUGUUUAUGAGUUAAUUUAUCAUAAGAAGUAUUGUUAAAAACAUGAUAGUGUUUACAUAAAAAUAUUUUUUAUUGUAGAUAAUGCUUGAUAAGUAACCAUAUUGAAACACAUAUAUUUUUUUUUAAAAAAAAAAAUAUAUAUGUAUAUAUAGAUUCUAAUACUAAUACAAUUAGGAUAAACAAAAUGAUUAUGUAAUUAUGAUUUAGUUUUUAAAAUUUUUACUAAUAGUUUUGUAUAAUAGUGCAGAAUAUCGUCAAGUCAUCGAGGCAGUGCAAGUUCUUCCAGACAAAGAGGCCGAAAUGUUUCUAAUGAAACUAAGAGUAAGUUUUAAUUCUAAAUAUUUUAUUAAUUUUAUAUAUGCAAAAAUAUUAGCUAAAACAUAUAUAUUAUAAUUUGUAGAGUAAGUUUUAAUUCUAAAUAUUUUAUUAGUUUUGCGUUACAUGAUGUAUACUCGCAACCCUAACAUUCUGCACGACAAAGAAGACAAGAGAUAAUGAAUGAGAGACGAGGUGAUGACUCCACACAUGGAUACUCAGAUUUUGAUGGGAAUGAGAUGCUAGACACUGAAGUUCCAGACACACAAGAAAAUGAAGAAGUGUAUCGGGUCAACCUAGAUGAUGAUUCACAUCCUUCAAAUGAAUUUACCCAUGAUGCAGUUGGAAUCAAUAUUGGAAGAGGUGAACAACGUGGGAGACGUGGAAGUAGUUCACACUCUAGUGGCAGACGAGGGGGUAGUUUGGAUAGAUCAGGUGGAAGCUCAGGAGCUAAUGUUGGAAGUGGUUCACGAGGAAGUCAGCGAAAACAAUCAUUUGAGACAACAAUGCAAGAAACUAUUACUGGGUUUAGAGAUUUUCAACGACAAAGUCUACAACAACUUCUUCCUGGUGCGUUUGAUCAAGAUGAUUACGAUGAAUGGAAAAAGGCGGAAGCGUUAUUCCUUGAUCUACAAGUUACAAAACAUACUAAAUUUUAUUGGAAAUGUCUUAAUACACUCCAAGAGUUAAAAUUUUGGCGUAAGUAUUUUAUUGAUAUAGCUUCAAGCACUGACGAGGACAAGCUACAAUUGCUUGAAGCUAUGACUGGUGUUUCACGAAACAACGAAGAUAUUCCAAAACAGUUGGGUUUGGGACUAUCACAUGGGAGUUCAUCUUCUGUGGGCAAUAAUUCUGGCGGUCAAAGCUCACCAGGUUUAUGGGGUCCUGGAUUUCAACAGUGGGAACACCACCAAACGCACAACAUUGGGGCACACCGCCAAAUGCGCAACAAUGGGGCACACCGCCAAAUCCACAACAAUGGGGUGUACAACCUGGUUUUCAACGGUGGGGAACACCACCAAAUGCGCAAAAAUGGGGCACACCGCCAACUGGACAGCAGUGGAGCGCACCGUCAACUACACAACAAUGGGGCACACCACCAACUGCACCACAGUGGGGCACACCACCGAAUGCUCAACAAUGGGGCACACCACCGAAUGCUCAGCAAUGGAACACACCGCCGAAUGCUCAGCAAUGGGGCACACCACCGAAUGUUAAUCAAUGGGGAACACCACCGAAUGCUCAACAGUGGGGUACACAAUCAAAUGUUCAACAGUGGGAUACACCAACGAGUGCUCAACAGUGGGGGCGUCAAAGACCUAAUCAUGGAAAUGACAAAUCAGCCAGAACGAAUCCAACUCAUGUUCAAUAUGGAUUUUCGUUGGACGAUCAUCAUGAAGUUUCAGAUAGCGCAACAAAAAGAACUUCGCCUGAUACCCAACAACCACAAUCACCCGGUCUUGGUUUCACAAGUCGUUUUGAUUCUGGACAAAAUUCACGACAACCCAGAACAGGAGGUCUGUUCAACAUAUGGGGAAACACACAAGAUAAUCAAAGUGAUGACGAAGAUGAAGAUUAGUUUGCUAUAACAUUAAAUAUGUUUUGUAUGUUUAUGUUUUAUGUGUCAUGUCAUUGUAAAAUUUAAAUUGAAAUGUUGCUUAUGGUUUUAUUUUUGCUUUUAAAAUUUUCAGGCGUUUCGUAUAUGCCAACUGCGGUCACAAGGUGUUCACAAUCUAAGCUACGAAGAGAGAGUUGAGUUGUGGAAUUUGGAAAAUGAACAAUUUGAGGAGUUAGUAAUUCAACCAAGUUUGAAUUAUUAUGAUCAAAAUUUCCAAAGAGCGCCGCAACGAACUGGCAGAGGUUUGGGAUGGAGAAAUAUUUGGAAUCGGUUACAAGAAGAUGAUGCAGCUUGUCUUCAGUUACUAAGAAUGUCACUUCCAUGUUUCACAGCACUGUGUAACAUUCUACAAACAAAUUACGGUCUACAACCGACAUCCAAUAUAAGCAUUGAAGAAAGUGUGGCUAUAUUUCUAGUGAUAUGUGGACACAAUGAAGUUCAGAGAGAUGUCGGUUUGAGGUUGUUUUGCGUUACAUGAUGUAUACUCGCAACCCCAACAUUCUGCACGACAAAGAAGACAAGAGAUAAUGAAUGAGAGACGAGGUGAUGACUCCACACAUGGAUACUCAGAUUUUGAUGGGAAUGAGAUGCUAGACACUGAAGUUCCAGACACACAAGAAAAUGAAGAAGUGUAUCGGGUCAACCUAGAUGAUGAUUCACAUCCUUCAAAUGAAUUUACCCAUGAUGCAGUUGGAAUCAAUAUUGGAAGAGGUGAACAACGUGGGAGACAUGGGAGUAGUUCACACUCUAGUGGCAGACGAAGGGGUAGUUUGCAUAGAUCAGGUGGAAGCUCAGGAACUAAUGUUGGAAGUGGUUCACGAGGAAGUCGGCGAAAACAAUCAUUUGAGACAACAAUGCAAGAAACUAUUACUGGGUUUAGAGAUUUUCAACGACAAAGUCUACAACAACUUCUUUCUGGUGCGUUUGAUCAAGAUGAUUACGAUGAAUUGAAAAAGGCGGAAGCGUUAUUCCUUGAUCUACAAGUUACAAAACAUACUAAAUUUUAUUGGAAAUGUCUUAAUACACUCCAAGAGUUAAAAUUUUGGCGUAAGUAUUUUAUUGAUAUAGCUUCAAGCACUGACGAGGACAAGCUACAAUUGCUUGAAGCUAUGACUGGUGUUUCACGAAACAACGAAGAUAUUCCAAAACAGUUGGGUUUGGGACUAUCACAUGGGAGUUCAUCUUCUGUGGGCAAUAAUUCUGGCGGUCAAAGCUCACCAGGUUUAUGGGGUCCUGGAUUUCAACAGUGGGAACACCACCAAACGCACAACAUUGGGGCACACCGCCAAAUGCGCAACAAUGGGGCACACCGCCAAAUCCACAACAAUGGGGUGUACAACCUGGUUUUCAACGGUGGGGAACACCACCAAAUGCGCAAAAAUGGGGCACACCGCCAACUGGACAGCAGUGGAGCGCACCGUCAACUACACAACAAUGGGGCACACCACCAACUGCACCACAGUGGGGCACACCACCGAAUGCUCAACAAUGGGGCACACCACCGAAUGCUCAGCAAUGGAACACACCGCCGAAUGCUCAGCAAUGGGGCACACCACCGAAUGUUAAUCAAUGGGGAACACCACCGAAUGCUCAACAGUGGGGUACACAAUCAAAUGUUCAACAGUGGGAUACACCAACGAGUGCUCAACAGUGGGGGCGUCAAAGACCUAAUCAUGGAAAUGACAAAUCAGCCGGAACGAAUCCAACUCAUGUUCAAUAUGGAUUUUCGUUGGACGAUCAUCAUGAAGUUUCAGAUAGCGCAACAAAAAGAACUUCGCCUGAUACCCAACAACCACAAUCACCCGGUCUUGGUUUCACAAGCCGUUUUGAUUCUGGACAAAAUUCACGACAACCCAGAACAGGAGGUCUGUUGAACAUAUGGGGAAACACACAAGAUAAUCAAAGUGAUGACGAAGAUGAAGAUUAGUUUGCUAUAACAUUAAAUAUGUUUUGUAUGUUUAUGUUUUCUGUGUCAUGUCAUUGUAAAAUUUAAAUUGAAAUGUUGCUUAUGGUUUUAUUUUUGCUUUUAAAAUUUUCAGGCGUUUCGUAUAUGCCAACUGCGGUCACAAGGUGUUCACAAUCUAAGCUACGAAGAGAGAGUUGAGUUGUGGAAUUUGGAAAAUGAACAAUUUGAGGAGUUAGUAAUUCAACCAAGUUUGAAUUAUUAUGAUCAAAAUUUCCAAAGAGCGCCGCAACGAACUGGCAGAGGUUUGGGAUGGAGAAAUAUUUGGAAUCGGUUACAAGAAGAUGAUGCAGCUUGUCUUCAGUUACUAAGAAUGUCACUUCCAUGUUUCACAGCACUGUGUAACAUUCUACAAACAAAUUACAGUCUACAACCGACAUCCAAUAUAAGCAUUGAAGAAAGUGUGGCUAUAUUUCUAGUGAUAUGUGGACACAAUGAAGUUCAGAGAGAUGUCGGUUUGAGGUUUGGACGAAAUCAGGAGACUGUGAUGAGAAGAUUUAGUGAAGUUUUGACAGCAACUGAACUUCUUGCAUGUGAUUAUAUUAGAACUCCAACAACACAAGAACUACAGCGAAUUCCUGAAAGACUUCUAGUAGACCGAGUAAAUUAUCCGUAUUUUAGCGGUUGUGUUGGAGCGAUGGAUGGAACGCAUGUUUGUGUCAAAGUCACUCCUGAGUUACAAGGAAUGUAUUGGAAUCGACAUGAUAAUGCAUCAUUGAACAUCAUGGCAAUAUGUGACUUCAAUAUGUUAUUCACUUAUAUUUGGAAUGGAGCUCCAGGAUCAUGUCACGACACAGCUGUUCUAACCAUGGCAAAAGAAAGUGUUCUGAGUUUUCUAUGCCUCCACUUGACAAGUAUUAUCUUGUCGAUUCCGGCUAUCCCAAUAAACAAGGGUUUCUAGCUCCCUAUAGGUCAUCACGUAAUAGAGUUGUGAGGUAUCAUAUGUCACAAUUUAACUAUGGUCCCCCUCCAAAAAAUAAAGAAGAACUCUUCAAUCGGCGUCAUGCUUCUUUACGUUCCGUAAUCGAGAGGACUUUCGGGGUUUGGAAGAAAAAAUGGAGGAUUCUUUCUGAUUUUCCAAGAUAUGAUAUUGAUAUACAAAAAGAGUGAUAAUGGCAACUAUGAGACUACAUAAUUUUAUCAAAAUUUUAAAUUUAGCAGAUGCAGAUUUUGCUGAAGUGAUGAUAGAGACGGGAAUAAACGACACAAACUUGGAGAACGAUUUAGACGACACGGAAGCAUUAAAUGCUACAAAUACAAUAGAUGGAGAAUAUAUGGCUCGAAUAAGGGAUAAUAUUGCAAAUAUGUUGUGGGAAAAUUUAAAUUCUUGAUUGUAUAUUUGUCUAUGUGGUGUAAUAAGAAGAAUUUAAAUUUUAUAUAUUUAUUAAUAAUAGUUAUAUCUUUUGUUUUAUUAAAAUAUAUUUAAAUUUAAGUUUUAUCCGCACCGCUUAUUCUAAUUUUACCAUUCUACUUUUGGUUAUGUACCGCACUUGCUUUUUGUUACCAUUCACAUUUUAUUUUGUACCGCUUUUUUUUUGUUUAACCGCUAAUAAUCCGCAGUUUACAAAACCGCAGUUAAACCGUACCGCACUAUCCAAUUCGCUUGUCCCGCGCCGCUCAAUCCGCUGUUACCAUUCGGAAGCCAAUCAGGGUAAGUCCGAAAGUCAGCACGCAUCCGGUUUAGUUUCCGUAUGAGUGGGGAUACAUCUUGCCGAAAAGUAUAAAACAAACAGAGAGAACAAAAAAUUGAACAAGGCAGGCAGGCAGGCGUUGGAAGAUCAAAUCAAAUCAAUGUCGAGAGAGAGGACCAGACGUGAAUUACCUCCCGUUCAAGAGGUAGGUACCCUUUUACUCGAAUGAUCUCUCUUCCUCUUUGAAUUGAAUCUUUUUUUUUUUUGUGGGAUUGUUUUAUAUUUUUUUUUGAAAGAAUGUUAAAUUUAUUCAUCAAAAAAAGCUUUAUUACAUAAAUGCAUCCUGUUUUUUAUGUAUACCUUUAGAAAACAUCACCCUUUUACAAACUAUUUUGGAACCAAAAUUGCAUUAACUCUCCUGCUCCCUUGAUACCUUUCUUCCGCAUCACACUGAACUUGUUUCUAAUACUUUUAUCAAGCAAUCUUUUAAGCACCCCUAAUGGCAACAGCUUGUCACCAUGCCUGAUCUUAUUUCGCUCUCUCCAAACCGCAUACAGAACUACUUGAAAAGCGUAUCUUAUACAGAACAGACUUCUCUUCUCCCUUGAUGAAUCAUUUAUAAACUCCAUAAUCUCCGACCAAUGCUUGGUAAAAGAGUUACCCAUUAUACCUUUUGCCAUAAACUCCCAAAGUUUGGAUGUGUAAUCACACUCGAAAAACAAAUGAUUCCUUGACUCCUGCGCAGAACGACAAAGCACACAAGUUGAAUCUACUCCAUGACUCCAUUUAACCACACGAUCCAUUGUUGAUAGCCUGUCUCUAGAGGCUAACCACACCAUAAACGCAUAUCUGGGAGUAGUUUGAGGAAACCAUAUCCCACUGGCCCAAGAACAUAAAGGAGAACUUCCUCUCAACUGCAUCCAAGUUUCUUGUGUGGAGAACUUCAUCCUGUAUCCCGCUUUACCCUUCCAAGUGCUCACAUCAUUUACCCCAGGGUCAAGCCUGCUGCUAAUUUCUCGAAGCUCAGCUUCAAUAUCAUUCAGAACACUAGUGCGAUGCCUUCGCCUUCUCCGAAUACACAAUACAGCCUCUUCCACCGUUGCAUCUUUCCCGACACCCAAGUCUAUGACUCCUCUAUCACCCAGCAGCUCAGAGAAUACACCUUUGUCAGACCAAUGAUCAUACCAAAAAGAAGAAUGUCUCCCAUUUCCAAUCUCUUUCUUAUAGAACAGUUUAGCCACUUCUCUUAGCUUCAAAAUCUUCCUCCAUAUGCAAGAACCCAUUUGUGGAUUUGACUUCACUGCCCAAAAGCUCUUCCCUUUCAGUAAAUUACCUCUUACCCAUUUACCCCAUAAUGAAUCACCAGUUAACAGCCUCCAAAUCAACUUUAGUCCAUAUACCUUAUUUACUUCCCUCAGAUCCCGAAUCCCCAAGCCUCCUUCACUCUUAAUGCAACAGAUUUCCUUCCAAGCUACCUUAGCAUUUGAAGUUUUAAGAACUGGCCCGGUCCAUAGAAAUGCCGAACAAAUACUCUCCACCUCCUUUAUACAACUACUUGGAAUGCGAAAUACAGAAAUCCAGAAGUUGACAAUGCUAACAAGCACAGAUAUUAUGAGUUGUAGCCUGCCUGCAUAUGACAAAUAUCGGCAUGUCCAAGAGUUGAUCUUACUUUUUAUGUGCUCCAACAGAGGGUAGUAGUCUUGUGUUCUCAUAGCUUGAGUCAUGAGUGGAAGCCCCAAGUAACGUACAGGUAGUUCACCUUCCGCAAACUUGAAGUUCGUCAAAAUACUCCUCUUCUCAUCGACUGAUACUCCAGCCAUGUAUAUUGUGGAUUUCUCCACACUUAUACUUAACCCCGACCAGACUUCAAACUCCUCAAAUACGGAAAGAGCACCCUGCACAGAAUCCUUGGAGCCUUCUACGAAGACCAUUAGAUCAUCUGCAAAACAGAGAUGGGUAAGAGAAAGCUUUUGACAACCCGGGUGGACCUUAAACUUCCUCUCAACCAUCGCUUUGUCCAGUUUCAGAGAUAACACAUUCAUACAAAGUACAAACAAGUAUGGAGCCUUGUAGAUGUACAAAUCCAUCAGUGCCAGGUUCGCAGUUCGAUUCCUUCCUAAACCCCAAAAUUCUCUCUCUUUUUUCUGUUUUGUUUGUUGGUUGGUUAUUACUUGGAGGAUUCUGUUAAUUCGGUUAAAAGUUUGGAUUUGAGAUAAAGCAUGAGCCUUUUUUGCUUCCGCAGAUACGUUACGGCUCAGAGAUUCUCUGAAGCUCUUGAUAUACUCUUCUCUGGGUCAUGCCUUGAACUAGAGCACGGCCUGGUUUGUUCCCUUUCCUUCUUUUUGUUAUUACACAUAUCUAUGUAAUGACAUGUUAUCACAAAGUUUUUAAGCUAGAAAAAUACUUUAUUAUGAAACAAUAGUGAUUUUCUUAUUGAAACAAUUAAUCCUCAGGUGAAUUGUGGGGCGGACCUUGCUCUUUUGUUUGUUGACACACUUGUUAAAUCCAAGUCACCUUGCAAUGAUGAAACUCUUGGUUAGUGUUCCAGGUCACCGUGUAUAAUCGCUAGAGUUCAUUAUCAAUUAUCAUGUAUCACCUUUUGUUUAUAGUACUUUGUGUGUCAGAUCGAAUCAGGUGUAUGUUCAAGUUGUUUCCUAGGGUUCCUGUACCACCUCAUUUGGUAGAUGUGAGCGAUGAUGAAGAUGUCCAUAAUCUUCAAGAAUCUCUUGGGGAUGCUAGAUCACGUGUUGAAAACUUGACCUCCUUCUUGAGAGCUGCUAUAAAGUAAGCCAGAGCACUUGUAUUAUCCUUUUUUUUUUCUCUGUGUUGUUUGAUGUGAACAUUUAUAAAACAUUUUGAAGUUAAAUACUGUUUUUUUUGUCGUCAGAUGGUCUGCAGAGUUUGGAGGCCCAAGUACUGGAUACCCUGAGUUGCAUGCUAUGCUGGCUGAUUAUCUUUACACCGAGUGUCCUGAACUUGUACUCUUCUUGUGUACCCAUUUGGUUAUAAAGUCUUGCAUUGUAUUUUAUUAACUGACUUUUUCUUUAUAUAUAUGGCAGGACAUGGUUCGAAUAUCACGGCAUUUUGUUAGAGCCGAGGACCCUGAGAAGUUUGCAUAUACGCUGAUCAACUUCAUGGGAAGGGUCAGUCUCUUUGUUUCAACACCUCCUUUUUUAUCAUUGAGAAAAUUUUGCUCUUAGAUAUUCAAGACUUGUUUCUUAUACAUGGUAUACUACUAUGCAGUGUUAUCCUGGUGAAGAUGACCUUGCAAUAGCACGAGCAGUUCUCAUGUAAGUUCAUGCUUUCCAACUGGAGUCCCAAGAUUGUUAGGGGAAACUAUAAGGAAUGAAACUUAUUUUGUCUUCUUUUUCCUCCGCAAUUUAGGUACUUAUCUAUGGGUAACAUGAAAGAUGCAAAUUUGAUAAUGGAUGAGAUUAAGAAACAAGCAGAAGCAAAACAUCCUGAGCUCUCAGAAUCAGACCUUAUCCAAUUUACCUCAUAUCUUCUGGAAACGUUAGUUGCACUCUUAAAUCUUCUUCGUCUUCUUUUAGUUUUCUAUUGUUACCUAAAGAAUUUUGAUGCAUGUAUGAUACAGGUUGCAGAGGGAUGCAUUGCCUCUUUUCAAUAUGUUAAGAGUAAGGUAUAAGUCUUGCAUAGAUAGAGAACCACUGCUCAACGAGGUAAUACAACGAUCAAAACACAGAGAGAGAGAUUUGUUUAUCUUGUUAACGGAGACUAAUGUUCCUGGAAAUUUUUGUCUAUCUUGUGAAGUUGCUGGACGAGAUUGCACAGAGAUUUUACGGUGUGCAGCGUAAGAAUCCUAUGGAAGGAAUGUUUGGAGACAUAUUCAAGGUAUAAAUUAAAAAAAAAAACAUAUAGACGAUCUCCCACUUAUCUCAUAUGUUGAAGUUACAAUGCUGGAACCACUGAAAGUCUUUCUGUUCUUGUGUAGAUGAUGGGCUAAGGAAGGAGAUAGAAGGCAAUAAUACUCUGUAUUUGGCGAUGUUCUAAUAAAGGGAUAGCUCUGGUGAAUUCUCCAGUUUAUAAAAUUUGUUUCUCUUAUCCUCAAGUGGAUAAGAGUUUUGUUCUUGUAACAUUAUACAUUGUUUUUGUCAGCACUACUACAGAUUCAGGAUAAACGUAAAGGAAAACUAGAAGUAUUUUGAAACUUUUGUUAAAUUUAUUUAACUCAUAUAUAUAGUACAUGUUAAAUAAGAUAAUUUAUUUUUUUGCAUGCUCAAAUGAAACUAUAAGGAGACAGGUAACUAGCUAGUACUGAAAUAAAUAUUAUAUUAUCCACCCUCUACUUUCCAUAGAACUAAAGAAAACCAUAAAGAGACAGCAGAGAUGGAGACAGAUAGAGAGAGUAUGUCCGGAGGAGGAAGACGAACCCACACCAAGUUUUCCUUUGGUAUAGUCUAUAUAUAGUUUCUUUAUGUUAACAGGCUGAUGCUACUUCAAUAAUGAUAAAUAUGCAUAUGCUGUAAUGUUUUUUUGUUAUGUUUUGCAGGUGUUGUGAGAUUGGUUUUGUCGGUUGGAGUUUUAGCAUGUGUUUAUCAGUCGGUUCAACCUCCACCGCCGAAGAUGUUCACCGCCGUGACAUCACCGAGGAUCAAACUGAGAGAUGGAAGGCAUUUGGCAUACAAAGAACUCGGAGCUCCCAGAGAGGAAGCCAAGUUCAAGAUGAUUUAUAUCCACGGCUUUGAUUCUUGUAUGCACGACUCAUUUUUCUUCCACAACUUGUCGCCAGCUCUUUUGGAGGAACUCAAGAUAUGCAUAGUAUCAUUUGACCGACCUGGUUAUGGAGAGAGUGAUCCUGACCCGAACCGGACACCAAGAAGCAUAGCAUUUGAUAUAGAAGAGCUUGCUGAUGGGUUAGGACUAGGACCAAAGUUCUCUGUCAUUGGCUUCUCUAUGGGAGGUCAAAUCAUUUGGUCUUGUCUUCACUAUAUUCCUCACAGGUUAGACACGGUUUGCUUCUGGCUUGUGUUAAGAUUCAUAACACUUCGGUUUAGAGUUUAAUCAUACAUGAAAGUGUUUCAGGUUAGGUGGAGCGGCGAUGGUAGCGCCCGUAGUUAACUACUGGUGGAGAAACUUGCCUGCAAAAUUGUCUAAGGAAGCUUUAUCUCUAAUGCUUCCUCGAGACCAGUGGAUGCUUAGAGUGGCUCAUUAUGCACCUUGGCUUACUUUCUGGUGGAACACACAGAGAUGGUUCUCAAUUGCUAGCUACAUUUCAUGUGACCCCAACAUCCUCUCGUUUCAGGACAAGGAAAUCUUCUCUAGGCUCGGUUACAAUGACCUGAAUCAGGUUUCAAGAACAUUCUCAUAUUCAUAUCCUAAAGUUUACAAACAUAAUGAAGCAAGUCUCUUUGGUAUACCAUGAAGUUGCGUUUUGUUUUUGGAAGGCAUACGCAAGGAAGCAAGGAGAAUAUGAAAGUCUACACAGAGACUUGAUGAUUGGAUAUGGUCAUUGGGAGUUUGAUCCAUUAGACGUUCAAAAUCCGUUUAAGAACAGUAAUGGCUCAGUCCACCUUUGGCAUGGCGAUGAGGAUAUGUUUGUGCCAGUGUCGCUUCAACGUUUUAUCAUCUCAAAACUUCCGUGGGUUCGAUACCAUGAACUGACUGGCUCAGGCCAUUUCUUUCCUUCUCUUAUGGUUGAUGAGAUUGUCAAGACACUUUUUGUUGGAGAAGACUAGCAAGUGCAAAUGUUUCUGUAGAAGCAUCAAGAAUGUCGGACAACAGUUGAAGAAUAGAAGCAAGUACAGGGUCUUGACUUGACUGUGGCUUUAAGCAAGUUAGACUCCGCUAAGCAAUGAGUAAGGUUGUAUAUCAACAAGGACCAAGGAGAGAGAAACUUUUACAAUGUAAUGUAAUCCAUUACAAAUUAGAACACACUAAAAAGAAGAUAUAUCAAUACAAAGACUCAACCUCCACCGCCGAAGAUGUUCACCGCCGUGACAUCACCGAGGAUCAAACUGAGAGAUGGAAGGCAUUUGGCAUACAAAGAACUCGGAGCUCCCAGAGAGGAAGCCAAGUUCAAGAUGAUUUAUAUCCACGGCUUUGAUUCUUGUAUGCACGACUCAUUUUUCUUCCACAACUUGUCGCCAGCUCUUUUGGAGGAACUCAAGAUAUGCAUAGUAUCAUUUGACCGACCUGGUUAUGGAGAGAGUGAUCCUGACCCGAACCGGACACCAAGAAGCAUAGCAUUUGAUAUAGAAGAGCUUGCUGAUGGGUUAGGACUAGGACCAAAGUUCUCUGUCAUUGGCUUCUCUAUGGGAGGUCAAAUCAUUUGGUCUUGUCUUCACUAUAUUCCUCACAGGUUAGACACGGUUUGCUUCUGGCUUGUGUUAAGAUUCAUAACACUUCGGUUUAGAGUUUAAUCAUACAUGAAAGUGUUUCAGGUUAGGUGGAGCGGCGAUGGUAGCGCCCGUAGUUAACUACUGGUGGAGAAACUUGCCUGCAAAAUUGUCUAAGGAAGCUUUAUCUCUAAUGCUUCCUCGAGACCAGUGGAUGCUUAGAGUGGCUCAUUAUGCACCUUGGCUUACUUUCUGGUGGAACACACAGAGAUGGUUCUCAAUUGCUAGCUACAUUUCAUGUGACCCCAACAUCCUCUCGUUUCAGGACAAGGAAAUCUUCUCUAGGCUCGGUUACAAUGACCUGAAUCAGGUUUCAAGAACAUUCUCAUAUUCAUAUCCUAAAGUUUACAAACAUAAUGAAGCAAGUCUCUUUGGUAUACCAUGAAGUUGCGUUUUGUUUUUGGAAGGCAUACGCAAGGAAGCAAGGAGAAUAUGAAAGUCUACACAGAGACUUGAUGAUUGGAUAUGGUCAUUGGGAGUUUGAUCCAUUAGACGUUCAAAAUCCGUUUAAGAACAGUAAUGGCUCAGUCCACCUUUGGCAUGGCGAUGAGGAUAUGUUUGUGCCAGUGUCGCUUCAACGUUUUAUCAUCUCAAAACUUCCGUGGGUUCGAUACCAUGAACUGACUGGCUCAGGCCAUUUCUUUCCUUCUCUUAUGGUUGAUGAGAUUGUCAAGACACUUUUUGUUGGAGAAGACUAGCAAGUGCAAAUGUUUCUGUAGAAGCAUCAAGAAUGUCGGACAACAGUUGAAGAAUAGAAGCAAGUACAGGGUCUUGACUUGACUGUGGCUUUAAGCAAGUUAGACUCCGCUAAGCAAUGAGUAAGGUUGUAUAUCAACAAGGACCAAGGAGAGAGAAACUUUUACAAUGUAAUGUAAUCCAUUACAAAUUAGAACACACUAAAAAGAAGAUAUAUCAAUACAAAGACAACAACACAAUACUAGAAACAAACAAAUGUAAAUUAUAAACAUCUUAUUUUUAUCUACCAAACAAAUUCAUACAUAAUACAUAUCAUAAUAUAAAAAUAUAUAUAUAGUUUCCAUGAUAUAAAGUAUAGUAAGCUGAUAGAGAAUCAGUCCUCACUCACUCACUCAUCACUCAUUGCAAACUCAGGAAGGAUCCAGCCAUUGUCCAUGGCACGACCAACAUACAACUCCAACUUCUCUCUCGCGUUAGGUAUAUCAAGCGACAAGUCAUCAAGGCUGUCUUUAACACGACCAAACCCUUUUGUCAUUUGGUUCAUUGUAAUCAACCCUUCACCAAAACAUUCCUCAAGCAGAUUCAGCAACCCAUCGUUCUUCUUCUCCAUCGCCAUCACCAAAGCUUUCUUCACCACCUCGUGGUUAAAAAACGGCAUCCCUAGAUCACGGAUACACUGACAAGCCUCUGAUGUUACUCCUCCCAUUUCGUAUUCCUCCAAAAGUUUCAAGAUCUUGUCUUUUGCAUCUUCCACUAUCCACCCGCUCCCACCGCCCCAGCUUCUCAGCAGCCUCUCCCCUGCGUGUCUUGCUGAGAUGAGAGACCGUGCUGAGCGAACUGUUUCGGUUCCUGUUGAUUUCGGAGGUAGCUUGGUUGAGAUCUCCUCGAGGUUAAGCGGAGCUAAGACGUCAUCGAUUACAGCUCUAGCUAGAAACAGAGCGAGCUCGUUUGAUGCGUCCAUGAUGUCUAAAGCUGUGUCUUCUGCUGAUUCAAGGAGCAUGAUGAAACCGUUUAUGAAAUCUUCUGUUGAGAAUAACUCCAUGUGAAGAGAAGAAAGAAGAACCGAAGCCAUUUCCUUUUCUCUGUUCUUCUUGUCUAGAGCAAGAGUUAUAAGCUUCUUUAGAAACACAGGGUUGUACUCAGGCGUUGCUAAAUCUUCAAGACUGCGGAUUAGCUCAGGAAUGUCAUCUGAUAAGAAAUAUUCUUGAAUUAUAUUCACUGUAUCCUUCUUGUACUGUCUUAGCUUAUCGUCUUGGCUUGAUUCUCUUCCAUCUUGAUCAGAGUUUACCUUGAAAGAAUCAUCAAGCCAGCCUCCAGAGAUAGCCUUGGGAACUAUCGAAUCAAACAGCUUUCUAGCAGAUGGGAUGUCUAGAGCAAGGUCAUCGAGAGACUCUGCAACUCGGUUGAACCCUUUCACCAUUUGACUCGAACUGAUCAGACCUUCUUCAGCAGCUUCGUUCAAGAGCCUUAGUAUGAGCGGCUCGGCUGCUUGAGACUCCAUAGCAAGAACCAAAGCUCUCUUCACCACCUCGUGAUGGAAGAACGUGACGCCUAAUUCUCUGAUGCAUCUACACGCUUCGUAUGUGUCUCCGUUUUCUACGUACUCCUUCAAGAUUUCGGAUAUCUUCUUCUUCGUUUCUUCUACGGUAGUGUGAGUGCUACCUCCCCAUUUUCUCUCCACUAGCUCCGCGUGGUGAGGAGCCGAGAGAUAGCUCUUCUCCGCGGUUACAAUAACCUGGAAGCCUUUUGAAGACACUGGAAGAUUCUUCUUAGAUCUCGCUAGAAAAACCGGAGGGAGGAUUUCAUCAACGAUGGCCCGGGCAAUGAACAACGCGAGGACGUUAACAGCAUCAGGUAUGUCCACCGCAAGGUCAUCAACGGAUCUGAGAAGUCUUAUAAACCCAUCCCUGAUCUGAUCAGGUAAAAUGACAUCAGCAUACAAGGCAGAGAGUAAGACCGAAGCCAUUUCCUUCUCCUUGUCGUGCCUGUCCAUGGCCAUGGAGACAAGCCGCUUGGUGAAGUAAGGAUGAUAUUCACUCGAACCAAGCUCCCUGAGGUCAGACGCCGCCACUUUCACAUCACCGGUGGUGAAGUACUCUUCGAUGAUGGAAACUACAGCCUUUUUGUAAUCAUCCAAGGGGUCUGAUACAGGUGAAUCAACAAGUUCAUCAUAUGCUCCCUGUUUUAAAAGAGAGAGAGAGUAUAUGAGUCACAAAGUAAGGCAAUGAAUCAAUCUACGAGUAAAAGAAUAGAAUCAACUGGAUGCAAUACCUCUCCACUAUCGUAAUUGGGAUCGUUUUUAUCGAGAAAGCAGUCAAGAUCAGUGUCAAGAAGCUUUCCCCAAGUUCCUUUACCACCAGCACCCUCUGCAGAUAUCAUCAUAGCCACCACAUAAGUAAAACUCUUUUUAUAUGUAUCAGGGAUCUAAUCUAUAAAGUUUUGACCUUUCUUAACACGGAUAUGUUUCCCAGAGUGACUCCGACGCACAUGCCUAAAAGGGAACCCAGCUACGGGUCCUUUGCCACCAGUGGGAGACUUAAUGUUCAAAUCAGCAAAUAAAGGAUGAGACUUUGGCGACGAUGACAAGUUUCCAGCGUUCUUCAGAGUUGCUACCUCCAGUUUCUUCCACUGCCCGUCCGUCAACAUACCCUCAUCCGAUGCCAUCUGAGAACAAUUAAAACGAUCAGAGAUAAGAUCAAUCAAGACACACAAGUGAUGUUAUCGAGAUUCUAACAGGCAUAAGAUCGAUUGAGUAAGCAAAUAUUUCAACAAGGCAUAUAGGGAAAUAGAAAGGAGAAAGAAGAAGAAUCUAUACAUGUGACACUGCACGAAUCCAAUUCCAAACCGUGAAAGAGAGUCGUGUUCUCUGCUUGGCUCGGAUCUAGAGCCAAGACAGGAGAUGAUACGGAUCGAAACUCCAGCACCGGGGAGGGCGAAUAAUCAACGUAGAUGAUGAAGAUAACGAUCACUCCACUAAGAUUCAAAAGUCACCGAUUCCAGACAGCGACUAGAGCAAAGGAACUGGAUCAGGAUCGCCCCAAAAAUUAUUAAUACAAUAUAAUAAAAGUUUUAUAUUAUAUAUGAUGGUACACGUCAUCACAGAUAGACGUGGAUAGCUUUUACUUUUCUUUAAAAAAAAACACAAUAUUCUGAUGCAAAACGGGCCGGAUCAGGAAGUUCGGCCCAUAUAGUUAGCUAUUUUGGGCUAAAUUAUUCAAAUUAAAAUUAGUAAAAUUACAUACAUGGAAAUUGGAAUUCUUAAUCUUGAUCAUAUGUUUUACAAAGUUACGUGGAAAUGUAUUAAGUGUAAACUAUUCCAAAGUGUAGUUUAUAGACACCUUCGGAAGUUUUAACCCAUGACGAUUCCAUAUGCAUUAUCAAAAGUAUCGAUUCGGAAGUAUAGUUCUCAAGUUCCCUGGCUAUGUUUUCUUCAUACUGGUGCUUUAGUUCUUUCGUUCUGCACCCGAAAACUAGCGUUUUAAGCGAUCAUCUUCGGCUUUGUUUUUUUUUCUUUUCUGAUUUGUUUAUGAAUCCUUAUCUACUUAAUAUGAUUAUUGUGUUGGCAAAAAGUAUAUGGAGAUGUAUAUAUUGUAAUUUGAUGAUCUAAUCCAAAAUAAUUAUUAUGAACUGUCUAACCAAUAUUAUUUUUAUUUGUUAUUUUUGAGUGAAUGUGCUAUGUUUAUUGAAUUAUUUGUAGAACACUGACAAUUAGAAGAAGUUGGCUAGUAGUUUUCAAGCAAACCGCCGCACAUGCCUUUUGUCUGAACACUUUCUUUUUCUGAUCCGACGGUUCCACUUAUAUCUUCAACCUUAAAUCUAACGACUCUGCUUGCUUUUAGAAAGGUCAAUUCUCUCUUUUUCUUGUAUUUGUUUACAAGACAUUUCAACUUUAGCAACCAAAAGAAAAGAAAAAUGAAAUUUGAAAUUACUUCAUACGGCAACCAAAAACAAAUCUUGUGAAUUAUGCGGCCGAGCUUUAAUCCACAACUCUACAAAAAAAAGAUUACUAGUAAGUUUAGUAUCCUAAUAUUCAGGUUUCAGUUUAUCAAAAGUCGUAAGUUUAAUAUCCAAAUAUUCAGGUUUCAGUUGAUCAAAGUCGUAUGAUCUACGGAAACCAAUGUAAAAUUCUAUUGUAGUGUAAAAAAAACAAGAUGGUUCAUGAAAUUCUCAAUUCUGAAGAAGGCUCAACUGAUAACCUUAUCUAAUUUUCAUUAUUCUUUACAAGAUCAUAGAAUCAUAGAAUGCUAACUGGUCGAAAUUUACGAUGAAAAUAUGCAACUACAAAGCAAGCACAGUACUAAUACUUAAUUCAACCGCAGUUUAGCCUUCUUCAGCAUUGAGAAUUUCAUGAACUUUGUAUGGUUCCAAGUUUAGUCACACGAGAACAGAAUAAUAUUAAUAUCGAACAUGUUUGUUGAUCAUAGUUUUCAAAACAAAAUGUUUGUUGAUCAUGCUAGAAAUAUCGAAAUAAUGUCCAAAAGUUUCUAAAUACGUACUGUUUUGUAAUGUUGAAAAUAUCCAUAAAUGAUGUUAGUUUAUUUUAUGCAUAAAAAUCGGUAGACUAAAACUCCUGAUUGUUGUUAUGGUCGUAGUUAAUGUUGAAAAUAUGGAAAAUAGUGUUUUCAUCAACGUAAGUGGUGGCUAGAGCAUCUCGAGACAAUAAUAAAAAGAACAUGUAGCAAAAUAAAAUGUCGGUGAGGCGUAAAAUUAUAUAAGCUGAUAAAGUGUUCUACAAGAUUAUUAAAGUGUGGAUGAUAUAUAGUGAUGCAAAUAGUUUCCAUGUGCAUUUAAUUGUCAACACAUUUUACACCAACCAAAAUUUUCAAUUAUUCGAUAUGAAAAGAUGUUAUAUAAAUGUAUAAGCAAAAUGUAUUGAAAGAUUGGCCUUCGAGCACAUGGUUCAAUGGUCCCAAAAUCAAAUCCCGGUGUCGGUUAAGUUCUCCUAUUAUGUUUUCUUUGGUGUGGCUGUUCUCUAAUUUAGUUCUGAACAAUAGGGCUUAUAAAUGAUAAGUUCACCCGUAUUACUGAAGUACACUAACACUGUUGACUCUUGCAGGCCAUCUAAUAGUGUUCACCAAGAUUCAUCUUUAAGUUCGUUGAGAUUUAAUUACGAAUUCUCUUUUUCUCUAUAAGCCACGUGACUCAUUGCUCUAUGUCACCUGCAUAUUGAAUGUACUGGCUCAACCAGUUUGAUUUCAACUGCUAUAAUGGUUGAGGUCAUUAUAUUAACAAUGAUGAUCGGAUCAGUGUGAUGUUGAAUGCAUACAUGUGAGAGUAGGUUUGUCAUUCGGGAUUGAAUUUUGAAACUUCAUUCAUUUCAAAAUAGCGCACUGUUUUUCUCCCUAUAUGAUUUAGGUUGUUUUUUUUUUUUUUUUUUUUUUUUUUUUUUUUGGUCACGGGCGGUCUCCGGAUUCCCAGAGGACUCGAACCCAGGUGCCUUGGGAUCAAGUUCACUCUAGUGUUACCACUAGGCUAUUCGGCUGAUUUAGGUUGGUUUCCAUUAUAAAACACAGGGAAAAUCAUUUCACAUAUAGAGAGAGAGAUAAGAGAAAAAAAUUAAUGGCUAAGAAAGGUGGGUCCAGUUAACCUCAACUUGCAUGCGCAUUAAAUCAUUCAAGGUGCUCGUUCAUGUGCUAUAUAGCCUAUAUGUUUCUUUGUCUUUCUCCCGUUCACUCAUAUGUUUCGUACUAAAACCUUAUAACUUUUUCAGCAAGAAGCCAAUGAACACAAUGUUAAAUUCCUCACAUGCAUUAUUUUCACUUAUCUUUCUCUACUGCAUUUUCUUCUCCUCACUCGCUUUGUCCUCGCCAGUUUCCGACCCCGAGCUCAUCGUUGACGAAGUCCACAGGUAUUGUAACACAAAUGUACAAUCUUUAUGAAUACAAAUGUUCGUGUAAGCUCGAAAUUUUUCUUUUUAAAGUUCUCUCCGUCCAAUGGUAGUUUUGUUACUUUAAUCUUAUCGUAAACUGACUUGUUUAUUUGCUGCAUUAGCAGUUAUAUGUACGUCCAAGAAUAAUGCAAAUAUGUUAUUGUAUAGUGGAUGUGAAAUUAAUCCUCUUUCUAACAUAUAUCGUGGAUGUGUUCCAUGUGGUGAACAACGACUAUACACAUUGGGAAAUGUAUGCAAUUGGAGGAAGUGCUAAUCCUACCAUCAACUCUCAAGGCAACCGUUUUCUUGCUCCUGAUGACUCUUUUAGCAAAGAGGUAUUCCAAUUUUUUUUUAUAUUCAACUUUUUUUAAAUACAAAACAAAUGUGAUUUGAUUUAAUUCAAACUUAUAAUAACUCAUGGUUUGGGGGGAAAUAGGUAACAAAGCAUGAGGAUGCUCCCGAAAGCGAAUGGAGUCAGAACCUCUUUGGAUCAUAUUCAACCGAGACAUGACGAUCCAACUAAAAGAAGAACUCAUAAUGAACUCUUUCAAAACCCUAGACGGACGAGGAGCCUCCGUACAUAUCGCUGGUGGGCCGUGUAUAACCAUACAAUACGUGACAAACAUCAUCAUCCACGGUUUACACAUACAUGAUUGUAAGCAAGGUGGGAACACCUACGUACGAGAUUCUCCAGAGCACUACGGGUGGCGGACGAUAUCCGACGGUGACGGUGUUUCGAUUUUCGGUGGGAGCCACGUGUGGGUUGAUCAUUGCUCGUUAUCGAAUUGUAACGAUGGGUUGAUUGAUGCGAUCCGUGGGUCGACGGCUAUAACGAUUUCUAAUAAUUAUUUGACGCAUCACAAUAAGGUUAUGUUAUUGGGACAUAGUGAUACGUAUGAACAAGACAAGAAUAUGCAAGUCACUAUCGCUUUUAACCAUUUUGGAGAAGGCCUCGUCCAACGAAUGCCAAGGUAUUCAUCAUAUGAUUUACUUUAUUUAUUUAUCAAAACAAAAAAUAUAUUGUUUUUUAGUAUACCUAUAUUUCUUUAUAUAUAUGUAGCACAAACUAUAAAGGUCAACUAUAUUGUCGGUGGACAUCUUAAAAGAAAAUAACAAAGCCAAAAUAUACAACUACUGCAUUGAACACUUAAUAAUUAUAGUUGAGUUAUUUUUAUAUGUGAAUCACUGCAGAUAGUUUUUCUAUAACAAGUAGAGUAUGUAAAUUUUGAUUCUAACAAAGUAAUGAAAGAUUAUAUUUACAUAAUAUAUAUAUAUAAACAUUUUUUUUUGGACAACAAGCUUACUUGAGCAUAAAAAGCAUGAAAGCUUUUGUUUUAGCUUUAUUAACUAGAUCUCGACCCACGCACCCACAUUUUUGUUUUCAUUUAUUUCUAAAUAAAUAUUUUGUUUUCAAUUCUAAAUUGGUAUAUAUUAUAAUAUAUAUGUGUCUAUCAAUUUUAAAACAUAAUAAGCUUACUGUAUAUUUUUUCAUUGAAUAGAUUGUUUCAAACUUUCACAUGUAUUUGUAUCUUCUUCUACAUAUAUAUUUUUGGAUUAUUAUUUCAUUAUUAAAAUCGUAACUAUAUGUAUAAAGACUAGUAAAAUAUUAUUUUAUUGUCAUAUUCAAAGAUAUUGUAACAUUUCACAAAUUUAGAAAGUUUUUAAAAAAUUAAACUUUUCGCUUCGUAGAUUUAUAUUAUCGAGUAAAUAAUUAAACAUUUAGUUUUUGUUUAAUUUUUAAAAUAAACUAUAUAGUUUAAAAUUGUUUUCAUUGGUUUAAGGUAGUAAAGAUUAGUCAUUGUUAGAUAAUAUGAUUUUUGUUAUUUUAAAAAAAAAGAUUAUAAUUUUAAAAGUUAACAUCGACAAAUAUUUAAAUAUUUAACAUAUGGAGGUAUAUUAUUACAACAUUAAAUUAUAUCUAUUUAAUUUAUACUAUCUAUAAAUCCAAUGGAUCAUCUAUUCCUUAAAUCCAAUUAUUGAUAGUCCAAUAAAAAUUUCUGGUAGGCCCAACAUUUAAAUGAUAAGAUUAGAGAUUAAAUGUAAUAUGACUUUCUAGGAAUAGGUCUAUUAGGUCUAUUUUUUAAAAAAAUCACAUAUGAAACAAAGCUGUGACUUCUGUUUUAAUAUAUAAGAUGAAAAAAUGUGUAUAUAAUAUAUAUAGGUGUCGACAUGGAUAUUUCCAUGUGGUGAACAACGACUAUACACAUUGGGAAAUGUAUGCAAUUGGAGGAAGUGCUAAUCCUACCAUCAACUCUCAAGGCAACCGUUUUCUUGCUCCUGAUGACUCUUUUAGCAAAGAGGUAUUCCAAUUUUUUUUUAUAUUCAACUUUUUUUAAAUACAAAACAAAUGUGAUUUGAUUUAAUUCAAACUUAUAAUAACUCAUGGUUUGGGGGGAAAUAGGUAACAAAGCAUGAGGAUGCUCCCGAAAGCGAAUGGAGUCAUUGGAAUUGGAGAUCCGAAGGAGAUCUAAUGCUUAACGGUGCAUUCUUUACACUUUCUGGAGCUGGACCAACUAAAUCGUCAAGCUAUUCGAGAGCCUCAAGCCUAGCUGCUAGACCGUCUUCUAAUGUUGGUGAGAUAACUAUAUCAUCUGGUGCACUCAGCUGCAAAAAGGGUUCCCACUGCUGAUCAUACCCCCACCAGCGUGUAUGUAUUUGUGUGUAUAUAUAUAAUAUGACGAAACCAACAAUUCAAAGCUAGUUGUGUAAUAAUCUUGAUGAAAAAAAAGUGAAGAAGAGUUGAUUACGUUUUAGUUUUGGUCGUUGUGUUGGCAAAACUUACUAGUAUCACUAAACACGUUUAACCAAAACCAAAAGUUACUUCCUGUUAAAAUAGUAUGUUUUAUCUACAAUAGUGCUCUCUACACCAAUAUUAGAUCAAUUUGGACAACAAACAAAAAGCAUAGCACAAAACCGAUCUUCACUUAUUUUCUCCGGUUGGACUUCUUCUUCUGCCUUCUAACUGGCUCCUGGUUGAUAGGCACUGGUAAGACGGUUCCUUCACGUAUACCAUCCGAAUCUGAUGACAUAUUCUUUAACGUUUUCUGGGCUUCAACAAACACCCUUAUAUCUCUUAUCUGUUACAGAUCCAUUAUCAUCACUCGUUAGGAUGUUAACAGCAAAAAGCAAACCCUCGGUGAGUAUAGAAGCUUACCUGUUCUUCAAGAUCAACUAUAGUCUCGUCUUUUGAUCCUAUCAACGCAGCUUCCCUGGAUAACACCAAAAAUCAAUUGUUUCUUUACUAUGUACUAUGAUGUUCGUUAAUGUAAACAUAUUUAACAAGAGAAAACAUGUUGCACCUCUCUUCUAUUUCCUUGGCCUUCUUCCGCCAAGUAUCCUGCUCUUUUAUAAGCUUUCUGUUAACCUGAACCCAAAUUUUAGUAGUUUGCAGAGCAUAAGGAACCCUUUCGAGAAUGGAACAAUGGAGAACAAGGCCUAGAGAGUCUCACCUCAGUGAUUUCAGUUUUUUCCUCUUCACAUUUUUCAAUCUCAUUCUGAAGCUCCUGCAUCUUUUUAACAACAGUCUGCUCAACUGCUUCGGCAAUACUACUUUCCUGCUUGCUUCUCGCCUCAACAAUGAGAGAUUCAUAGUACUGACGAAAGACAUCAUGAUCGUGAUAAGUAAUUGGUAUCUCUUUGCAUAGAUAUACCACGACACGAGGUGGCUACAACAUCAUCCUCUACUAAAAGCUUGUUCAUAUAUACUGUAAAUUAAGAAGAGACAGAAACACUUGCCUGUCGCUGUGCCCUCAGCUGACUUGCAAGGAGGUCAUUAUACUCGGUCACAAUCUGUUCCACAAAAACUUAAUUAGACAACUAAUAAAAUCAAGAAAGCCACUGACGUUUUAAGAUUCAUUUUAUGCAGGAAAUUUUGAUUAAGGGUGAUUGAAAGCAUACUGAAUCGACUUUGCUGUUGAAGAUGGCACCGCUAAUCCCUGUAUCCUCACUACACUCGCAAAGACCACAAUCCCCUUCGUGUGACAGACAGCGGCUGUUCAUCUCUACCGACUUUCCAUCUAUUUUUGAAUGGUUUAAGCGAUGAACAUAGUUGUCACCAACAUAGUCCCAGAUUUGCUGUGUUCGCAAAUCAAGAGAAUAGCAAUGAUGCGUUUCUUUCCAAUGCCUGAUAGAGUGUCCUUCCUUGUAUCUACAACAAUUAGAAAACAUAAUCAAUCCACAGUGAACGAAACUUCCACCUCUGACGAAGAUAUAGAUGUGUUUAUAAUUUCAGGUUACGGAAACGCAAACCAAGCCUCACCUUCCACAACCUAAGAAGCCACAGACAAGGCACGCCCAUACAUUGUCUGUUUUUCCGCAAAUAGAACAGCUUAUUAUAUCAUCUUGUUGUUGACAUAAUCGACAAACCUACAAGACGAAAAUGAGCAUGUGUUAGAACAUGUGCCCAGGUAUUUGUAACGAACUGGAUGAGUCAAGAUUCAUUUUACGCCACAAUGGUCAAAGAUGUAUCAUAUGAAACAAGGAGGGCCACUCACCUGACAGGAGAGAUAAGUCCAUUUCGAAGUGCAUGAACACUGAAACGAGUGAUCACAAAGAGUGCUGAGGAUGCCACUAGUAUCAGGAUCUAAUCGCUCUGCAAGAGUCAAAUUCCAAACACGGAUAUUAAGCAACAACAAAAGGUACCUAAAUCAUUCAAACUGAAAAUCGUUAUUCUUUAGCACAAACUCUCACCAAGACAUAUUGGGCAAGUAGGCAACUCGGUGAAUCCAACAGGUGAAGAAGCAGCAAGCUCAUCGAACUCAGUGUGUUCCACCGUAAGUACAUAGAGAAUAUGGCAAACCUCAGCCUAAACCCACAAGAAAAAAGUUAAUCUUCAUGCAAUGAACUAAACAAACAAAGAAAAUAAAUCUCCUUUCCAUUAUUACAAUACCUCAGAAGGAGCAUACUUUCUCCCAUUCAAGUUCUUGUGGAACCCAUCUGCUCCCGCUUGAUCCGAAAGUGUGAUCAAAACACUAUACCGAUCUUCCAUUGCAUCGUUCCUAGAAGAUUUUUCAAGAAGAACCAAAUCAGCCAAAAGGCUUUAGCCUUUUUUUUCCUGAGUUCUUGCAAAGUGACUACUCACCUGAUGAAGAGGAUCUGAGAAACAUGUUCGAUUUGGGAAUCACAGAAGCGGAUGAAAUCGAGGGAGGAGAGGUAAUUGGGGACAGCGACGACGAAGAGAGUGGUUGAUCGGGAGCUAGGGUUUGGGAGGGAGCUGUGCGAAGAGUUUCGGUAGAGAUGGAUGAGACCUUUGCGUUCGGUGAGUUUGAGAGAUGGAACGAGCUUAUCGGGACGCUGAGAUCUCCUCGACGGCGCGAAGCUGAAGCCGGAUUCUUCGUCUUCGAUGGAGAUUGGCUGCUCCGAGUCAACGGAAUGAACUCUAAGGACGAACAUCGUCUCUGAGAUCACGCAAGCCGGAAUUCGCGAGAAGCGGUGGUUCAAUGACGGGCGAUACACGGUGACGGCUAUUCUCAUGGGCCUCUCUUGUCUUUUAUAAAUUCCUGGUUCAUGUAAGGUUGUUAUAGUGGGCCUUAUGUAGUUAAUGGGUUUUUUCUUCGAGUUUUGGGCCCUUUUAGGGUUUAAGCGCACAACAAAAAAUCAGAGCUCUCUCGGGGGCAAACGCAGCUUUUGCGGUUGACAUAAUAUUGUUAAUUUAUUAUUUAACCGCUGUUGUAUUUGGUAGUUAACCAGUCAUAAGUAUCCCGCAAAUGCACCAAUUUCUAACCGCAGAACCAGUCGUACAAAUCUCUUAAAACCGCUAGAAACGGCAACCAUCCGCAUCCGCAAACUCCCGCAGCCACAACCGCUGCGUUUGAACCAGUCAGACCCUUAGUCUUAUCGGUAUAUCUUAUCCAUUUCUGUGGGGGAAAUGUUCUGAAGCCAACAUAUUUGUUUUCAUUUUGACCAAGUUCAAAGACUAUUUUAAAAGGCUAGCACUACCUAGGCCUGAGACUUUUAUUCGAGAUCCGUAUUCGAUCCGAGAUUCGAUCCGGAUCCGAUCCGAAAAUCCGGAUAUCCAGAGAAGCUGAAUCCGGAUCCGGAUAGUAAAAUGUUGAAUCCGUCAAAGCUGAAUCCGGAUCCGGAUAUCUUGAUUUUUUUGUCUGGAUAUCCGGAUCCGUAAAUNNNNNNNNNNNNNNNNNNNNNNNNNNNNNNNNNNNNNNNNNNNNNNNNNNNNNNNNNNNNNNNNNNNNNNNNNNNNNNNNNNNNNNNNNNNNNNNNNNNNUGGUAAAUUAACAUUUUCUAAAAAAAAAAAUUAUUUAAAUAAAUUAUUUUUAAAAAUGUCAUUCACCUUUUAAAAAAAAUUAAAAUUCGUAAAUUAUGUAAUAUUCUUAUACAAAAAAAAGGGUAACAUGUGUUAAGUUUUUAGGAAUAAGAUUUCAAAUUUUGAAAAAUAAAAAAUUUAAAUUUUUCAAAAGAUAAAAUGCUAUUUUGGUCAUUUUAGUUUUUGAGUGCUAUUUUUGUGAUAUAAACUUAGAAAUGUGCUAUUUUGGAGAUUUGUCCAUAUGAAAACUAUAUAUUAUAAAAUGAAAGGCUAUCUAGUAUGCUUUAUUUUAUUGGUUAGAUGGUCAUGUUAAAUCAGUCUAUUAUAUAUAAUUGUAGGUAUGAUAAAAGCCACAACUGGUAUUGUUGUGCUACUACUAAAGCUAAAAAAGUAAUAUACAUAAAAAUAAUUAUACAUAAAAAUUAUAUGGGCCCGGCCCGAUAAAGGCCUAGAAACAUUAACAUAGAAAUUAUAUGGGCCCAGCUCGAUAAAGGCCUUAUUAACAUUAACAUUAACUUAGUAUAUGCUUCUCAUUUUAACUACAUACUUUGGUAUUACAAAUAUGUUACGUGCCACGGAUCUCUAUGCUAUAAAAAAAAUCAACGGUCGAAGAACUCAUCACCUGACAAAAACGAAAUGAUGACGAUUUGGACACCUUCGCCGUAGUUGAUAUCAAAUCUUUCCAUAAGAAAAUAAUAUGUAAUCAUCAAAAGCACAUAGAAAACAUAAGAACCUCCAUGGCUUCUCCAGCCUCUUCCCAAGGUUCUUCUAUGGCGAUGACGAACGGUGAUGUCUCAAGAACCCUAAACCCAGCCGCACCUCUCUUCUUUCCCCAAAACCCUUAUCUGCAUCACUACUACUUCUCUUCACCUCAGAUUCUCUUCAUCUCCGACACUAACUUCCCUCCCUCAUCUUCAAUCGUUGUGUACUAUCCUUUAUGGUAUAUCAAUCUUAACCCUACUUGGUUUGAGGCAACACAAGAAUUGCCUCCACUUCACUCUCAAGACCCUAUCCAAGAGCUGACUCCUCCACCGACCAGUAGAAAAAAGGUUUUUGGCUGGGAAAGAAGCAGCAGACACGACCGUAAUAAGCUGGUGUGGAGGAGGAAGAUCCAUUAUCAAGCUGAGUCCAACGGCGAUACAACUGUCAUGCUUAGAAACAUACCCAACAAGUAUACGUACGUAUCUAUAUGAAUAUAUAUCAUUCACUAGAAGAGUAUUUGUUAAACAAAGGCGUGAAGUAAUUUGUUUUAUAUGAUGAUGUUUAUCGAAUCUUAUAAUUACUGUGUAAGCAGAAGAGAGAUGCUUAUUCAGUUCUUGGAUGAGCAUUGUGAAGAAGAAAAUAACAAAGAGGAAGAUGAAGAGAAUGCCUAUGAUUUCUUAUAUCUUCCCAUCGAUUUCCAGUAAGUUUUUUGUUUGUCUAAUUUUUUUAACUUUAUCACUAUUCGUUAGUCUUAAUUUUUGAUUAAUAUCUCUGACAACAUCAAAAAAUUAUUCGAUUUGCAUACCUAUACACUUAUAUAGAUGUUUGCGUGUAGGCAGGAGCAACAACCUAAUGAUGAUACAACUUUUUAGAUAUGAUAAUCGAUUAAUAAUCUGGAUGAUAUAUCAAUUCAAUUUUUUUUUGUUUUCGCUUUGAUAUAUUUGUUACAUAAUUAACAAUGUCAUAGACUGAUAGUACGACAUGUUAUAUCUUUCUUUUAAACUAAAUUAAUGGCACUAAAUUGAGCAGGAGCCAAAUGAACAAAGGGUAUGCAUUUGUGAACUUCACAAAAGCAGAAGCAGUGUCGAAGUUUAAGGCGGCGUGCAACAACAAGCCAUGGUGUUGUUUCGGUUCAAGGAAAAUACUUGAAAUUGCUCAUGCUCGGAUCCAGGUUAGUUCUAUACUCUAUCUUCAACAUGUGUAAACGCAUAUAUAUAUUCUUUUAUAUCAAGCUUAUUGUUAACAUUCGUGUUUAGGGAAAAGAUAAGUUGGUGAAACAUUUCGAGCAAAUGAUUUAUCCAGCUGAAGCAUACAGUGCGGUGACUUUCAUCCCUGCCCGUAGGGGACCAAAGAGUACGGGUCUCACCAUCAUGGUCGGUAAAUGCACCGAAGCAGCCAUAUCGGUUUAGUGGUUGUUUCAUCUAUCAUGUUACAUAUGUUUAGGAUUAUGUAUGUGUGUGUGAUGGGGAACAUCGAACUAUGACUAAUGGGUGUGCCUAAAAGGAAAAGAAAGGACUCAGACACCGAACCAAAUCCAAGUUAAAACUCUAAAAAGUUUAGUUUUGGAUUUGGUUUUUGAUGUGUGUGAGUUUUGACUUUUCCUUUGUGUUUAUUUUAAGAGUCUACGUGUAACGGGUUUGUACUUAAAAAGGAAAAGAAAGGACUCAGACACCGCACCAAAUCCGAGUUAAAACUCUGAGAAGUUAGUUUUUGGAUUUGGUUUUUGAUGUGUGUGAGUUUUGGCUUUUUCUUUGCAUCUAUGUUAAGGUUGUAUGUGUUUUUAUGCACUACUUAUGUAUUGUCGUUUAACUGUUGGUUUGUCAAUGUUACGUAAGUUGUAUUCUCUGUUGUUUUAAUUUUCGUGUUAGUGAUAAGAUUAUCAGUUUAAAAAAUUGGUUGAAUUUAUGUACCUUUCUUCUCUUAACCCGGAAGUUCCUCACAUGAGAACAAGAAUAACAUUUGACAGGAAAAUAAAAUUUAAAAUCAAGAAUUAAAAAGCGACUACCGAUUAUCACUUAUAAGACCAUCUCCAAUCACACUCUAUAAUUUCCUCUAUAUUUCACUCUAAAAUAGAGUAACUCUAUUAUAGAGUGAACCAUUGGAGCAAAUUUAACUCUAUAAUAGAGUUACUCUAUUUUAGUGUAAAUUAUAAAAGAAAAAAUAGAGUGCCUUUGGAGAUGCUCUAAGGACUUUUUUUUUUCUUUUGUCAACGAUGGAUACGUAAACUAUUAGGACUUUUUGGACCACAAGGAACACGUUCACUAUUUGAAGCCGUGUUCUAGUUAUAUCCCAACCAGAGAAUGUUUUGCUUAGAAAUGUACUUUUUGUGAGGUAGUUUCCAAUGUUGUCAGUAUUCAUCUUUUUAGUUAAUUUUAUUUUCUGAACACUUGUUUGUACUGUACAUGGAGUACACGAAGAUCUUGCAAAUAGAUAAAACAUUGUUGACAAAAUCUUUGUUUAUUGGAGAAUGGACCAAGAAGUGACGCUUACUCUUUUUUUGUUCUCUUCUCUUUUUAUAGUAGAAGACUAGCUAUCAAUUAUGGCAAAAGCGACUGACCUCUUUUUAUUUACAAAAACGUCGAAAUGGUUUAGUAAAAGUGACUGUUCUCUUCCUAUUUAAAUGCACUUGACACUUUGACAGUCCACCCAGAGAUAAGAUAGACAUCUUAAAUUACGUAAUGCACACCGAAGCUCCACUUCUUGUCAGCCGUGCGGCCGUAAAUCAAAUAUUUGCUAAAGAAGAAUACGACUUUUGUUUGAAAAAUAUACGACAUUUUUUAGUGUUUAAAAAAAAAACGACAUUUGUUUUCAUUUCAUAUGUAAACAGCCUAGUGCUACACGUAAAAUGUUUCUUUUAAUUUGUAGUAUUCGUAUGUGCAUUAAUAAAAUAUUAUAUCCAUUUGGCCGGACGAAAUACUUUACACAAAAUUUUAAAUUAUUUCCCCGAAUCCAAUCUAGUACUACUACACAAAAUAGUCAUGUGCACACUCACCAUUUUAAAUUUUGUUUAUUGGGAUUUCAGAAAAAUAUAAAAUUUUGAGCUCGUACAAAUACAUGUAUAAGAAAUUGUAAAUUUAUUCAUUAACAUAACUAAACAAACAAAUUUUAAAUGGGUAUUUAACUCAGUUCUUUUUAUUCUUUUGUUUUUUUUCAUAAAUUAAUUUGCGUUUGUUCUUAAAAAUAUCAUUUUAUAUGUUUCUGACGAAAAAAAUACAAAACUUAAGCCUUUUUACAAAAAAAAAAAAAAAUACAAAAAUCAGUUAAAAUUGUUUUGACAUGUUUCCAUCUUCUUCUUUCCCAUCUUAAUUUUGUGAAAAAAAAUACAAAACUCAGCUAAAAUCUUACUCGAUAGUGGUAAAACGAAAAUUUUCUCGUGGCUAAUAAGAUAAAAUCGGUAAAAGUCUAAACAAAAACCACUGAAGAAAGUAUUUAUGAGAGACGAUGUUUACAUUGUCGUAUCAACGUUUUAAGUGGGCUUGGUUGCAAAUGGUCCGUCACUGGCCCACACUUACACCAACUCUAUAACCUUCUCUCUUUACAAGAGACUUUCUAAUCUCUGCUUCGUAACCCGAGCCUGAAACUCGCUUCGGUUUCCGAACCUCAGUCAUUGCUCCUGCCCCCGCCGUUGAAAAAAAAAAAUUGCGAUCACUUUAUCUCUCUCUCUCUCUCUCCGUUAAUUCUCGAGCUCGGAAACCCUAAACGCACUCAUUCGAAAUUGCUGCUGGGAGGAAGAAGAAAGGCUUUCCCUUUGUUGUAGAUACAUACAAGUGUAAGUUCGCAUCUUUCUCUCUUUCCCCUUUUCAGAAACCCUAAACUUUUUCAGUAUGUGAGAUUGAUUUUAUAAUACUCAAUUAUUGAAGUGUCUCGGUGGGAAUUUAAGCAUUGAAAGCUCUCGUUUUGAGGUUUAAUUCUUGGUUAGUGUAAUGUUUGAAGCUUCGAUUUGAUUUUGAUCUCGAGUGGAUUCGCCAGAUUUUAAAGCAAUUCUGUAAAAAAAAAAAAAAAAAUCUGAUUUUGAGCUGUUGAUAAAGGAUUGAGCUUUAGUUGGUUUUGGUUUAAAGAUCUUGAAUGACGUUUAGUAGUAUCAAAUGUGGUCUCAAGUUUGCUGGAUUUGGAGUACAUUGAGUGUGUUUAUAGUUUUCGGAAUCUCAUUGGAGCUAAGUUGUAAUCUGAGGGCGUUGAACAAAUGUUUUGGUUAUGUAGUGAAUCAGAGUUGAGGAUUAUGCUCUGUGGUCUUUGUUGUUGUUGUGUGUGUGUUAAACAACUUCAAAUAAGUAGUAACUGUUUUGUUUGUUUUAACAGGAGAUAUUGAGAGUAUUCCGAGGAUGUUAGUUGAAGGCAGCUCAUGAAUUCUCGAGGAGACGACAAUCUUGAACUUUGUUCUGUUUCUAUUCGAGGUUCCAGAUAUUUAGAAUAAUUCUUAGGAGCUGAAUCUAUGUCUGGAAACGAAUACGGAGAGAGGAUCCACAAUUUCUUUGGACAAGAAGGCCUAUCUCAAGACCAGCAUCAGUCUCAGGUGGUUGAUGGAAGCUGGUCCGGUUUCAGCAACGGUUUAGUUGGAAACCAGAGGCAUAUAGACACAUCCAUUAUUAACAAUCUGGAGAGUUGUAACACACAACAACAACCUGGUAUGCGUUUUGUCUCCUUAUGACUAACUUCUAGCUUUUUCUGUGGGAUGUUGCUGGAGAUUUUAAACGUUUCCUUGCUUGCUUAUUCCAGUUGAUCCCGAGAGAUGGCAAUCUUCAAAUUCACACCAGGGUUUGAAUUUUACGCAGCAGCAGCAACCUAUAAGGGCUGAGUACUCCAGAAGUCUAUUGCAAGAUAAUCAGCAACUCACAAAUGGUUACAUGAAUUGGAUGGCGAUGCAGAAUGGGUCGAAUGUUUCGGGAGUGGGUGUAGAAUCUAGUAGGGAUAACUUAUCAGCGAAAGGGUUUACUUCCGACAUUCAGAAAACUCCUAUGAGGUUUGAGAUGGGAGGAGAAUCUCCGGUUAAUUAUGAUUUCUUCGGUGGUCAACAGCAAUUAAACAGCCAGCCGCCGCCUGGCAUCCUCCAGCCGUUUCCAAGGCAGCAGAUGACGUUCAAUGAUAUGCAACUACUAAAGCAGCAAGUUAUGGCUAAGCAAAUGCACGAGUAUCAACUUCAACAACAGCUUCAUAAGAAACAGCUGGAGGCCAGGCAGCUCAACUCUUUGAAUUCAAAUGCAGUAAAUGGAAAUCGCUCAAGUGAUAAUCAAUCACACCUUUUGGUUAAUGGGAUCCCUCUUCAGGAUGCGUCUAGUAAUGGUUGGCAGCCUGAUCUUGUGUCAGGAAAUACAAACUGGAUGCAUCGCGGCAUUUCACCAUUUGUUCAAGGUUCAUCCAGUGGGCUUGGCGCUGAGCACGGUCAGGCGAACUUACAGUUUGAACCUUCCUUGUACGGCAUGCCACUUGGUGAAGCAAAUGCACCUCAAAGUUCCUUCUCUCCCGUUCAGAUGAACAGAUUAGCUUCGGAGCAUGGUUCCUCUCUCACCAAUCAGCCUGAUAGUUUUAUGCUACCUAGAUCCACAUACCAGGAGAGAGCGAUGUUCUCAAAUUCUUCAGCUCCAGGUUCAAAUGAUAGCCCAAAUUUCGAAUGUUUCCAGCAAGAUGAUCCACACGAUAGAAACGUUUCAGCGCAGGAGAAACUCGAUCAGAUGAAGGGUUCUGGUCCACCAGAAAAAUCAUAUAUAAAAGCGCCUGGAAAUGUUUCUGGGUCACAGAAGUCGACAGCCUUAGAUCCAACAGAAGAAAAGAUUUUGUUUGGUUCGGAUGACAAUUUGUGGGAAGCAUUUGGAAACGACACUGAUAUGAGCUUGACGGGAAACCUGAUGUCCAGUAGUUCUGACCUUAAUGAUGCAUGCCCCUCUUUGAAAGGUGGGGGUUGGAGUGCUCUUAUGCUAUCUGCUGUAGCAGAAACAUCCAGUAAUGACGCAGGCUUUGGUAACAGGGUCCAGAAUCUUGGCGUCAAGGCUUCAAAUGCACUAAGUGAGAGACUCCACAAUGAUUCGGGCUCUAUUCAAACGAAUGAGGGGAUUGGAGAUGGAUUUGGUAUCUGGAAGGCUGCUUCUAAUCCAAACUUAGUUGCUCCUGUUGAACAGAAGAAUCACUUCACCCAAAAUCUACAAAUGAAGGCAAACUAUGGAUUUGGCAUUGCCACUGCGGAAAACAAGUCUACUGCUUCUAGGGGUGUCCAGGAAAACCAACAGCAUUUGGGUAAUAACUCUGUGGAGAAAGCUACCCCUCAAGUGAAUCAUAGAGAUGGCAGUCAAAUUAGUCGCAAAUUUCACUAUCAUCCCAUGGGGAAUAUUGGCGUCACUAACGAGCCUUAUCGAGAAAAAAAUUCUCAUUUGCCACCCGCAUUGGACCGGGUGUCUGGAGGAAAUCAAGGGUAUUUUGGGCAGUCAAAGUCACUUGGCCAGCCACCUAUGAACAUGCAAAUUGACAGGGUAAAUUUUUUAUCCGUUGGUUUUUGACGUUGUUCUAGUAAUCUGAAUCCCUCUGAACAUUCUUUUGGCUUUAUUAUGGCAGGGACUUGUUUCACAAGGCAUGGGUUCAGAGAAUUCACCUAGUACAUCUGCUUCAGCCGACAGAAGUGUUGAUAUGUGUAAUCAAGUGCAGAGUGCGUCAAGGUACUUUUUCUUUGGGUGGAAAAGGUUUAGUCUGUCAACUAACUGACAGAGUUACCUAACUACCCUCAACUCACUGUUUUCACUUAUUAUCAUUGAGUAAAUCUUAUUCCCUAUGUGCUUGCAAUUGCCUUUCUGAUUUUUUUCCUCCGCAGGCAGACAAUGCUUGAGCUUCUUCACAAGGUGAACCAGCCGGAGGAGCGUUCUGUGGAAACAGAUGCUUUCAAAAUUCCUGAAUCAACACCCUCUGCAGAAAAUGGUGGUCAAUUUAGGCAUAGUCAGUCAUCUGCUUCUCAGGGGUUUAGUUUACAGCUGGCUCCGCCAUCUCAACCAGCUCCCUCACCUGAUAACGUGCAGUUUUCUAUGAACUCUUUGCAGCCAUUGAAUUCACUUCAUACUGCCCCUGAAAAAGGAGCAACAAGUCAAUCAAGGUUUGCUCCAUGGGCAUCUAGUCAAUCUUUUCCACAGCAAUCCACUUAUCAAGGACCAGG